Molecule: long non-coding RNA, 52341 nt
Filed under: Brassica napus (rape)
Lineage: Eukaryota; Viridiplantae; Streptophyta; Magnoliopsida; Brassicales; Brassicaceae
Description: long non-coding RNA (BNAP_LNC025256)
Source: RNAcentral
AGUGGUACGAGCACCAAGGGUUACGAGGACCAAGAGGUACCAAAGGCCGAAGGGGUGCGUGUACCAAGCGGUGCCUGUUGAGGCAGGUCGUGUCCGUUCCUUAGGGAUCAGACCAUGUCUUGUCCGUUGGGGCAAGUACACGGUCCGUCUAAGCCAGGGUAAGAGUCGCAAGGUCUGAUCGGCCAUUGGCCUAACCGGAUUGGGCGUGAGGCUUACUCGGCCGUUGGAUCCAGGGCCAAGGCCGGAUCAGGUAAGGAAGUCCGUUGGGCCAUUGAGCCGGACUUCAUCUAGGCCGGUUAAAAGGGGGUCCUCUCUGUCGAUUUCAUUCAUCCAAUCCAGAGUAAAAUACUCAGAGAAAUCAUAGAGAGAGAGUUUCCGGCCAAAGCAAGGCCAAUUGUGUGGUGGUUAGGUUUCCGGCGAUCUGAUCGUUUGUGAAGCAACCUCCGAUCAAGUAUGGGAGACCGAGAGCAGGAGAAGAGCNNNNNNNNNNNNNNNNNNNNNNNNNNNNNNNNNNNNNNNNNNNNNNNNNNNNNNNNNNNNNNNNNNNNNNNNNNNNNNNNNNNNNNNNNNNNNNNNNNNNNNNNNNNNNNNNNNNNNNNNNNNNNNNNNNNNNNNNNNNNNNNNNNNNNNNNNNNNNNNNNNNNNNNNNNNNNNNNNNNNNNNNNNNNNNNNNNNNNNNNNNNNNNNNNNNNNNNNNNNNNNNNNNNNNNNNNNNNNNNNNNNNNNNNNNNNNNNNNNNNNNNNNNNNNNNNNNNNNNNNNNNNNNNNNNNNNNNNNNNNNNNNNNNNNNNNNNNNNNNNNNNNNNNNNNNNNNNNNNNNNNNNNNNNNNNNNNNNNNNNNNNNNNNNNNNNNNNNNNNNNNNNNNNNNNNNNNNNNNNNNNNNNNNNNNNNNNNNNNNNNNNNNNNNNNNNNNNNNNNNNNNNNNNNNNNNNNNNNNNNNNNNNNNNNNNNNNNNNNNNNNNNNNNNNNNNNNNNNNNNNNNNNNNNNNNNNNNNNNNNNNNNNNNNUGUCCGUCAGCACACACAGGACGUCCGUGUGUGUACGUCAGCACACACAGGACGUCCGUGUGUGUCAGUCAGCACACACAGGACGUCUGUGGCUGUCUGUUUGUGUCCGUGUGUGUCCGUCACCACACACAGGACGUCCGUGUGUAUACAUUUCAGCACGCUGGUCCUUGGACUCAGCACGCUGGCCCUUCCUGUGGACUGUUCGGGUCAUUUUGGCCCACGUGAGCUGUCUGUUCAGUGCACACAGGACGUCCGUGGGUGUCCGCCAUAACACACAGGAUUUAUGUGGCUGUCCGUCAGCACACACGGGACGUCCGUGGCUGUCUGUGUGUGUCUGUGUGUGUCCGUCAGCACACACAAAACGUCUGUGGCUGUCUAUGUGUGUCCGUAUGUGUCCGUCAGCACACACAGGACGUCCGUAGCUGUCCAUCAGUACACAUAUCAGCACGUUGGUCCUUGGACUCAGCACGCUGGCCCUUCCCGUGGACUGUUUGGGUGAUUUUGGACCACGUGGGCUGUCUGUUCAGUACACACAGGACGUCCGUGGGUGUCCGCCAGCACACACAGGAUGUACGUGGCUGUCCGUGGCUAUCAGUCAACACACACAUGACGUCUGUAGCUGUCCGUGUGUGUCCGUGUGUGUCCCUGUGUGUCAGUCAGCAUACACAGGAUGUCUGUGGUUGUCCAUCAGUACACAUAUCAGCACGCUGGUCCUUGGACUCAGCAUGCUGGCCCUUCCUGUGGACUGUUCGGGUGAUUUUGGCCCACGUGGGCUGUAUGUUCAGUACACAUAGGACGUCCGUGGGUGUCCGUCAGCACACACAUGACAUCUAUUUGUGUCCGUCAGCACACACAGGACGUCCGUGGCUGUCCGUGUGUGUCCAUCAGCACACACAGGACCGUUGUGGCAGAUGAGUGGAGGAGUAGGCUAGUCCGAGACUUUCAAUCAACUCUUUGUCCAGAGGAUUACAGACGAGACAUUGCGGUUCACUUACUGGAAGGGGACGCGCAUAAUUGGUGGCUUGCAGUGGACAAUCGCAUCAACGGAGGUCUCACAAGUUUUGCAGACUUUGAAAUUGAGUUCAACCGCAAAUACUUUCCUGCUGCGGCUUGGGAUCGUCUGGAAGCUAAGUUUCUAGAUCUGGUCCAAGGCUGCAGGACCGUACGGGAGUACGAAGAAGAGUUCAACCGACUCAGAAGGUUUGUUGGAAGAGAGCUGGAGGACGAAGUUUUCCAGGUCCGUAGGUUCAUCCGAGGCCUAAGGCCGGAGCUGAAGACCCACUGCUCGAUCCGCACUUUCAACACCGUCGAAGAACUGGUGGAGCAGGUGGCUUUGUUGGAGCCUAACUUGGCUGAGGAAGCUAAGCUUAAGGCUAAGCCACAGUCUGGCCCAUUGGGCAAGAAUAAUGAUAAAAAGAGAAAAUGGGACCAGGUGGACGGACGUAAGACCUCUGGUGGCCGACCUGCGUUUUCCAAAUGUGGACGGAACCAUCCUGGUGAGUGCUGGAAGGCCAAGGAGGCUUGUGUUCGUUGUGGCAGCAUGGACCAUGGGGUUCAGAACUGUCCUCGACCGAACCAGUCUGGUAGAAGCGGCCAGAUGACCUGUUUCCAUUGUGGCCAGCAAGGACAUUUCCAAUCGGAGUGUCCCAAGCUGCAAGGAAGUCAGGGGAAGGGCCGUGGAGAUUCAGGAAAGGCGUCCCAAGGCAAACCAACCACAACACCGCGGGUGUAUAAACUGUCACGAAAAGGCGGAGCUUCCGGAUCCUUUGAUUCGAUCUCUGGUAAUUUCUAAAUUUAUCAUUUUACAUUCAAGUAGUAAUGAUUGGUUUAGAACCUAGAAUGUGGUCUAGGGGAUUCUGAUGGGGGUCUCUGAUAGGAACCCUCAUGGUCGGUGGGGUAAAAACCCACGUGCUUUUCGACACAGGGGCUACACAUAGUUUUGUGAGUCUGGGACUGGUCGGAAAGGGUCUGUUCUGUCUGGAUGAUGGUGAAAAGAAGAGCAUGGAGAACAGCAUGGAGAACCCUGACACGGUUCAGAAGGUACGUGUUGGGCUAUGGCUCCAUCAGACCGAACGGACGGUCCUUGUGAUCGCACCGCGGCUCUGGACGGUUCAUUAGACCCGGCCGAUUCUCCUCUUCUUGUUUCUAUCAGGUCCAUUCUCUUCUUUCUGAUUAUGCACGAAGGGUUGUGUUGGUUCAGUCCAAGGGAAACGUUCCUAGACUUGGCCGGACAUAACCAAACAGCUAACCUAGACGCUGGUCGGUUAGACGGUCGGUUCGAAUCGCACUUGAAGAGAAAGUAGUGGUUUCAGCAGUUCGAUAGAUUCGGAUGCUGGAACAGGGUUGUCAGUCAUUCUUGGCUACAAUUACAACUACAGAGCCUGACAGUUCUGGUUUUCUGUUAGACCCACGCGAGGAUUCGUUGGUGUCCGAGUUCCAGGAUGUGUUUCAGUCGCUACAGGGUGUCCCCCCUGAUAGGUCCGAUCCCUUCCUGAUUGAACUGGAACUAGGGACAGCUCCGCUGUCCAAGAGUCUGUUUCGAAUGGCUCCGGCCGAGACGGUCGAGCUAAAGAAGCAAUUGGAAGAAUUGCUUGACAAGGGGUUCAUACGGCGAAGUAGCUCCCCUUGGGGUGCACCAGUCCUCUUUGUGAAAAAGAAGGAUGGUAGCAUGCGUCUGUGCAUCGACUAUCGAGGGUUGAACAGGGUAACUGUGAAGAACAAGUAUCCGUUGCCCAGGAUAGACGAGCUGUCGGAUCAGCUGAAAGGAGCUAAGUGGUUUUCAAAAAUCGAUUUGGCCUCGGGAUAUCAUCAGAUUCCUAUAGAGCCAAACGACAUUAGGAACACAGCAUUUAGGACUAGGUACGGCCAUUACGAAUUCGUAGUGAUGCCGUUCGGUCUGACCAAUGCACCUGCUGCAUUCAUGAAAAUGAUGAACAGCGUGUUCCGACACUUCUUGGAUGAAUCAGUGAUCAUCUUCAUUGAUGAUAUCCUGAUUUACUCCAUGGACGAGGAAUCUCAUCGGAAACAUUUGAGAGCCGUGCUGGAACGAUUACGAGAGCACAAACUCUUUGCUAAACUCAGCAAGUGCAGUUUUUGGCAAAAGAGUAUUAGGUUCCUCGGCCAUAUUGUCUCUGACCAGGGCGUCUCAGUGGAUCCAGAGAAGAUCAGGGCAAUCAAAUAUUGGCCGCGACCACGCAGUGCCACGGAAGUUAUAAGCUUCCUCGGGCUGGCAGGUUACUAUAAAAAGUUUGUGAAGGGAUUCGCAAGCUUGGCUCAGCCGAUGACACGGUUGACUGGGAAGGACAUUAAGUUCACAUGGUCUAACGAGUUUACGAGAUGUUUCUCCGCACUUAAGAAUAUGCUAACUAGCGCACCCGUCCUGGUUCUCCCGGAGGUAGACCAACCUUAUAUGGUCUACACGGAUGCGUCCAUCACUGGACUCGGUUGCGUGUUGACCCAACAUGGGAAGGUCAUUGCUUACGCGUCAAGGCAGCUGAAGAAACAUGAGAGAAACUACCCACCCAUGACCUGGAAAUGGCUGCGGUAGUGUUCGCCUUAAAGAUUUGGCGAUCAUAUUUAUAUGGGGCCAAAUUCCAGAUACUUAUGGACCAUAAAAGUCUGAAGUAUAUAUUCACCCAGCCUGAGUAGACCUUAAGGCAGAGGAGGUGGAUGGAGUUCGUGGCCAACUACGACCUAGACAUCACUUACUAUCCGGGCAAGGCCAACCUUGUGUCUGACGCCUUGAGCCGGAAACGAGAAGAUGUUGCGGCCGGUAGCGGAACGGACGAGCAGGAUGAGGCGGGACGUUUCGUCCGUUUAAAUGCUUUGAACGGGAUGGAUGGACCACGGGGUUUAGAGGCGGUGAAUAGAGCCGACCUGCUUCCCCGGAUCCGAGCGGCCCAAGAUCAGGACUAGAACCUGAAGACGGUUGCUCGGAACGACCUGACUGAGUAUCAAAUCCCCAAGGACGGUACGAUCUUAGUUCAUAGUCGGAUCAGCGUACCCAAUCAUAGGAGUUUGAAGGACGAGAUCCUUAGAGAAGCUCAUAAGUCUAGAUUCUCGAUCCAUCCUGGAGUGACCAAGAUGUAUCAUAAUCUCAGACAGUACUAUCAUUGGAUAUGAAUGAAGGUUGAUGUGGCCGAAUGGGUGGCUAAAUGUCCUACUUGCCAGCUCAUCAAGGCCGAACAACAAGUUCCGAGUGGACUGCUUCAGAGUCUACCUAUUCCGGAAUGGAAGUGGGAUCACAUCACGAUGGACUUCGUGACAGGUUUUCCCACGACCAGGAAUAGGAAUGAUGCUAUCUGGGUAAUAGUGGAUCGACUGACCAAGUCUGCCCACUUCCUGGCCAUCAAAAAGACUGAUGGAGUCGACCAGAUUGUGAGUAAGGACAUUGACGAGAUUGUGAGGCUACACGGAGUACCCUCAAGUAUAGUUUCGGAUAGAGAUUCGAGGUUCACAUCUCACUUCUGGCAAGCUUUUUAAAAAGCUUUAGGAAGAAGAGUGAACCUGAGUACGGCUUAUCAUCCCCAAACAGAUGGGCAGUCGGAAAGAACUAUACGGACGCUGGAGGACAUGCUUCGAGCAUGUGUUCUCGAUUGGGAUGAUUCCUGGGAACGGCAUUUGCCGUUAGUGGAGUUCGCCUACAAUAACAGCUUCCACUCAAGUAUAGGCAUGUCGCCAUACGAAGCUUUGUAUGGACGACCAUGCAGGACACCGUUAUGCUGGACCCAAGUGGGGGCGCGCAGCAUGAUAGGCCCCGAGAUCGUGGAGGAAACCACGGAGAAGACCAAGUCCGUGCGGGACAAGAUGAGGGCCGCAGAGGACAGACAAAAGCACUACGCUGACAAACGAAGGAAAGAACUGGAGUUUGCAGUGGGUGAUAUGGUCUAUCUCAAAAUGAUUACCUUUAAAGGUAGAGUGCAAAUUUCUGGUAGAAGGAAAUUGGAUCAAAGAUACCUAGGACCGUUCAGAGUCAUAGAACGAGUGGGCAGUGUGGCAUACAAGUUGGACUUACCAUCUGAGAUGGAAGCCUUUCAUAAUAUAUUCCAUAUCUCUCAACUCUGGAAGUGCUUGAUGGAUCAGGACUUCUUAAUACCAGAAAUACCUUCUGAUCUGGGUACGAACCUAACUUUGGAAACAAGGCCGGUCCGGAUCGUAGAUAGGAUGGAAAAAGCAAUGAGAAAGAAAACAAUCCAGAUGGUCAAGGUCAUUUGGGAUUGUAAUGGUCGAGAAGAGACCACUUAGGAGACGGAGGCCAGGAUGAAGGCCGAGUUUCCACAAUGGUUCAACCAGUUUGUGUUGGAUGACACACAUGACUCGGAUUCGAGGACGAAUCCAUUGCUAGUGGGGGAGACUUGUAACAUCCCGGAUCUUGAAUAGGAUCAUUGGGACGGCCAUGGUUUGAGGGAACGCACUAGCCAGUUUUAAGACAUCAAGGCAAGCAUUCCAUGGCCGGAUAAGAAGGUUAAGGACGUAAGGAAACUUAGACUUAACCUUACACAAGUCGAGAGUCAACUAGACCGAGCAAGACGGUAGCUGGACGAAUGGAGCGGGUAGCUCGAGCAGCUCAACGGAGCUAGGUUAAGCUCACUGCAGCUCGGACACUACAAGGUCACCUCCACUAUCUGGACUACUACCUCACUCAGCAGAGGCAGCUGGGGAUCAGCUCAUCUCAGCUGGACGGUCCGUUCGAGUUUCGGUCCGAUGGUCCGGGUCCGGGCCGAUGGCAGGCCAUGGGAGGUCCGGCCAUGAGGUCAUGGACUGUUGGGGCUUGGGACAAGGCCGUGGGCUAAGUCCAGAAGAGUUGGGUAAGGCUUUGGGCCUCUGUCCGACCCAAACCCAUGCGGUAUUGGCAAAGGGGCGCAUGCGGCCGAGAGGGUGUAACCCUUGGCCGAUUGUGCCCAUCUGCUGGCCAGUCAUGCCUGUUCGUGGGGCAAGACUUACCCCCUCGUUUUCUAUAAAUAUGGGGUCCUCUCUGUCGAUUUCAUUCAUCCAAUCCAGAGUAAAAUACUCAGAGAAAUCAUAGAGAGAGAGAAAGAAAGAGAGAGAGAGNNNNNNNNNNNNNNNNNNNNNNNNNNNNNNNNNNNNNNNNNNNNNNNNNNNNNNNNNNNNNNNNNNNNNNNNNNNNNNNNNNNNNNNNNNNNNNNNNNNNNNNNNNNNNNNNNNNNNNNNNNNNNNNNNNNNNNNNNNNNNNNNNNNNNNNNNNNNNNNNNNNNNNNNNNNNNNNNNNNNNNNNNNNNNNNNNNNNNNNNNNNNNNNNNNNNNNNNNNNNNNNNNNNNNNNNNNNNNNNNNNNNNNNNNNNNNNNNNNNNNNNNNNNNNNNNNNNNNNNNNNNNNNNNNNNNNNNNNNNNNNNNNNNNNNNNNNNNNNNNNNNNNNNNNNNNNNNNNNNNNNNNNNNNNNNNNNNNNNNNNNNGUGUUCUAGGAACCAAGCCAAGCAUUGUAGAAUCAAUCCGUUCUAUUCUCGGUUAUGAUUAAUGCUUAUCUGGUUGUGGUUUCAGGAACUAAGGAUGGUUCUGGUCAAGCCAAGGAGCCGUGAAGGCUCGGUCAGUGAGAGGCUGUGUAACGUGUGGGUAGAUGAUGCUAGGGACGAACUAGUGAUUGUCUAUGAAACUGUUAAGAAGUUGUGUAUUGGAUCUCAUGUUUCUAAGUAAUACAUUUGUUUAUACAUUAUAUUCCGCUGUGCUAUCUGUUCCAUUAUUUUAGAACCUCCGAUUCAAACAUGACUUAGUAAAUGAAAGGCUUAAAAUGAAUGAAACGACCAAAGAAAUUGAUUAAGUAGCAAACGGGUCUAGUCUUGUCGAGAGGCCAGAUUCGGGCGUUACAGUCCGUGGCUGUCCAUCAGUACACAUAUCAGCACGUUGGUCCUUGGACUCAGCACGCUGACCCUUCCCGUGGACUUUUUGGGUGAUUUUGGCCGUGAGUGUCCGCCAGCACACACAGGACGUCCCUGGCUGCCGUGUGUGUCCAUCAGUACACAUAUCAGCACGUUGGUCCUUGGACUCAGCAAGCUGGCCCUUCCUCUAAGACCCGAUCCUGGCUCCUAAGCCCAACUUGGACCCGCGGCCUUACUUAACUCCUAGUGUAAGUUUUGUCCAGUUUUAAAGUUCAAUAAUUCUUAAGUCCUGUUCAGUCAGAUGAGGUUCAAGCAACUUAUUCCUAAGACAAAACAGAUAAGAAGAAAUUGUAUCUUUUUAAAUAACAAACACGUGAUUCAAUACAUAGGUUCAGUUGCACAAUAGGCUAAUCAUAAGUUCAUACUAAUAGUACUAUCCCAAAUCCCACACAUCCUUCCACGGCUAAGGUCUUCAUGGUGCCUUGGCCUUGCCACGGUCCUGGUCUGAUCCUGAAACCAUCACACAACCCAAAACAUAUGUGUAAGUACAAUCCGAUAUCCUAAACAAUCAUAUCUAGCAUUGCAUGGUUCGGUUCACUUAUUCUAUGUUCCCUAACUAACCAUUCAACCCACAAGGCACACGGACAUACCCAGAACAUCACCUAGCUUUCCCAGCACCCAGUUAACACACGGCCAGACCAAUCAAGAGAGACCUCACCCAUUGUCUCAAUCAAUCUGAACCGGCCAUAUCUUAAUCCCAAAUCUGACCUCCUCAAAUAAAUUCCCAAAAAUUAAUCUUUCAUGAUAAUUCAAGAUAAAUCCUAACUAAGAGAAUGGUCGAGUCAGAACCACCAGAAUCGGUCCCGGCCUCCUAGAUUUCGGCCAUAACCAGCCAAACCGGCCAAACUGACCACCUCUAAAUUCAUCUGAUAAAAUUAGUUCGAACCCAUGAUAAUUCAUGAUAAAUCCCCACUAAGAAGAAUCCACAAUCAGAUCUUAUAGAACCGGCCUCGAUCAUAUAGAUCUCGACCCUGAUCAGCCAAACCGGCCAACAUCCAAGGACUAGGUUCCUGGACAGGUCAAGGACUAGGUUCCUGGACCGGUCAAGGCCUUGAUAUCAUCCCUCUGACUUCGAAUCAUCAGCCCCAUACAGAAUAGAGAUGAAACAGAGAUGGAAUAGAAGGAUAAUGAAAAGAGAUAGGUCUGGCUUCACCAUUCCGGCCACAACCCACACGGAAUUCCACCGCGGCCAUGGCAGGAAGGUUUAGUCCAUCCUACUCACCUUGGGCGUGCGUUCAGGAGUGCUCAAGCCCCUCUCCAUGCCUCUGUUACUCAUCAUCAGCCAAUCUCAACUUCCUCAGACCAACCCUCGGAUUGAAUCAGUCACCAAUACACUCGGCCAAGGCUUUGGCCGAUCACUUCUUCUUCUUUCUCUCUUUCUUUCUCUCACGAUUUGGGCAGAGCUUUUCCUUAGGAAAAUUGUGGCAAAUAUCGGUCCCUAGGGUCUGUAUAUAUAGGAAGAGACAGGCCAAUAACUGCCUGGCCGAACAGGCACCACCUGAUGGCCGAAUGGGUACCAUUUGUGCCAUUCUCACCUUUUCGGCAUAACUGCCCCUUUUCCCUGUUGGGCUGUUCGAACCUGAGCCCACCAUACUUGCCCAUCCUUCCUGGAUCCUUUGUCCAAUCCUCAAACCCAUCGGACUCUCCUUGGCCCCUCAAGCCUCCCUCACGGCCUGGUAUGACCCGUGACCCGGCCACAUGGCCAAGACUCUAACACUUCACUGAGCUGAGGUGAGCUGAUUGCUAGCUGCUCCAGCUGGGUGAGCUAGUAGUCUUGCUAUUGGAGCUGACCUAAGCUAGUGUGAGCUGAAAUGAGCUGUCCAGGACUUGAUCCAGCUGGUAGAGCUACUUCCCAGCUUGGCCGAGCUGCCUUAGAACUCGUCCAGCUCCGUUCCCCUUGUCUUAUCAGGUUCUGGUUAAGUCUCAGCCUACUGAUGCACUUAACCAUCCUUGUACAGCCAUGAUACGCUUGUCUUUGGGUCGUGUGACCUGACUGGUGCAUCUCCUUGCACCAUGGCUGUGCCCGAAGGCACUAUCUAGAAUCAGGGACAUGACAAGUCUCCCUUGAUAUGGAUUCGUCCUCGAAUCCGACCCUAGACCUUCCAUGGAGAACUGUUGAUACCAUUCCGGAAAUUCAGCCUUCAUUCUUGCCUCGGUCUCCCAAGUGACUUGCUCUUGUCCACUGCAAUCCCAAAUCACCUUGACCAUCUCUAUGGUCUUACGUCUCAGUGCUUUCUCCAUUCUGUCUACAACCCGAACCGGCCUUGUUUCUAAGGUGUGGUUUGUGCCUAGAUCGGAUGGAAUCUCUGGAAUGAUAAUGUCCUAAUCUGAAAGACAUUUCCUUAACUGAGACACAUGGAACACAUUGUGAAAUGCUUCCAUUUCUGUUGGUAGGUUCAGCUUGUAAGCCACCGCUCCAACUCGUUCUAUAAUCCGGAAAGGACCCAAGUACCUCGGAUCUAGCUUCCUUCGGCCAGACACCCUUUUCCGAUCUCUGAAAGUGAUCAUUUUGAGAUAAACCAUGUCAUUCACCUCAAACUCCAUAUGUUUCCUCCUUCUGUCUGCAUAGGACUUGUGGCGAUCUUGUGCUUCUUUCAUCUUGUCCCUUAUGAACUUAAUCUUCUCUGUGGUCUCUUCCACUAUCUCAGGUCCUAUCAUGCUGCGCUCCACCACUUGGGUCCAGCAUAACGGUGUCCUGCAAGGUCGUCCAUACAAGGCUUCAUAAGGCGACAUCCCAAUGCUCGUGUGGAAGCUUUUGUUGUAAGAAAACUCCACCAACGGCAAAUGUUUUUCCCAGGAGUUACUCCAGUCCAAAACACAUGCUCCCAACAUAUCCUCCAUCGUCUGGAUGGUUCUUUCUGACUGACCAUCUGUCUGCGGAUGAUAAGCUGUACUCAUGUUCACCCUGGUUCCUAAGGCCUUUUGGAAAGCCUUCCAGAAGUAAGAACAGAACCGUGGGUCUCUGUCGGAAACAAUACUGGCCGGCACUCCAUGCAGGCGUACUAUUUCAUCCAUGUAGAUCUGCACCAAAGGCUCCAUACCAUCAGUCUUCUUGAUUGGUAUGAAAUGAGCUGAUUUGGUCAAACGAUCCACCACUACCCAAACUGAAUCCUUCCUGUUCCUGGUCGUGGGAAAUCCGGACACGAAGUCCAUGGUUAUGUGAUCCCACUUCCAUUAUGGAAUAAGUAAGUUCUGAAGUAUCCCACUAGGUACUUGAUGCUCAGCCUUGACGAGUUGGCAAGUAGGACACUUAGCCACCCACUCGGCCACAUCAGUCUUCAUGCGAACCCAAAUGGUAAUACCUCUUGAUGUCUUUAUACAUCUUGUUCAGUCCGGGAUGCACAGAGAUCUUAGACUUAUGAUACUGAAUCAUAAUCUCUUCCUUAAGUCCCCGCACGUUAGGGACGCUAAUCCUUCCAUGGACCAAGAUCGUUCCAUCUUGAGCCGUCUGAUACUCCGUCUUCUCGUUCCGAGCAACCCCUUGAAGGUCCUCGUCCAAGACCUGAGCUUGUCUAAUCCUGGUCAGAAGAUCGGCCUGGUUCACUGCUUCCAAACCCAAAGGUUCGUCCUCGCUAACCAAGGUAUUUAGGUGCAACGAUCUGACCAUCCCUUCCAACAUGUCCGCCUCUUUCUCAGCCGAUACUUCAGCUCUUCUGCGGCUCAAUGCAUCGGCCACCAGGUUUGCUUUACCUGGAUGGUAUGCUAUGUCAAGAUCACAGUCGGCCACAAACAAUGGUAUUCUAUGUCAAGAUCAUAGUCGGGCACAAACUCCAUCCAUCUUCUUUGUCUCAAAUUCAACUCAGGUUGAGUGAAUAUAUACUUGAGGCUUUUGUGGUCGGUUAAAAUCUGAACCUUGGCACCAUACAAGUAUGACCGCCAUAUCUUGAGGGCAAACACCACUGCGGCCAUCUCCAGGUCGUGGGUUGGGUAGUUACCCUCGUGCUUCCUCAAUUGCCUAGAGGCAUAGUCAAUGACCUUUCUGUGUUGGGUCAAUACACAUCCAAAUCCGGCGAUGGAUGCGUCUGUGUAUACCACAUAAGGUUGGUCAACCUCUGGUAGCACUAGAACGGGUGCAUUCGUCAACAUAUUCUUCAAGGCAGAGAAACACUUCUCACAUCCUUCAGACCAUACAAAUCUCACAUCUUUUCCAGUUAGCUGUUUCAUCGGUUGGGCCAAGCUGGCAAACCCUUUGACAUAGUUCCUGUAGUAACCGGCCAGCCCUAGGAAACUCCUGACCUCCGUGACACUCUUAGGUCGUGGCCAUUCCUGUAUGGCCUUGAUCUUCUCUUGUUCAAUCGAGACUCCUUGAUCGGACACGAUGUGUCCAAGGAACCCAAAACUCUUUUUCCAAAAACUGCACUUGCUCAACUUGGCAAAGAGCUGUUGUUCCCUCAACCGUCCUAGCACAGCCCUUAAAUGCCUUUCAUGGUCUUCCUUGCUCUUGGAAUUUACUAAUAUGUCAUCUAUGAAGAUGAUUGCAAAUUCAUCCAAGAAAUCUCGAAAGAUACCAUUCAUCAUCUUCAUAAAGGCUGCUGGUGAAUUGGUUAGUCCGAAUGGCAUGACCACAAAUUCGUAGUGACCGUACCUUGUUCGGAAUGCUGUCCUUCUAACAUCAUUUGGUUCAAUAGGGAUCUGAUGAUACCAUGAAGCCAAAUCGAUCUUAGAGAACCACUUUGCACCCUUGAGCUGAUCCAAUAACUCAUCUAUCCGAGGCAAUGGGUAUUUGUUCUUCACGGUAACCCGGUUCAACCCUCGAUAGUCAAUGCACAACCUGAAGCUACCAUCUUUCUUUUUGACAAAAAGAACCGGUGCUCCCCAAGGUGACACACUAGGUCUUAUAAAACCCUUAUCCAGCAACUCCUCCAGUUGCUUCUUAAGCUCGGCCAUCUCGGCAUGAGCCAUUCUGUAGGGACUUUUGGAUAACGGGGCCGUCCCUGGUUCCAGUUCUAUUAUGAAUGGGUCCGACCUAUCAGGGGGAAUGCCCUGUAGUGACCUAAACACAUCGUGGAACUCUCGGACCAGCGGUAUUCCCUCCGGGUCACCACCCACGACGACCUCCUUAGUGGCGAUUGUGGCUAGAUAAGCUUCACAACCCUUCCUCAGCAUCUUUUCAACAUGGAUUGCUGACACCACCAAGCAUCCAGAGAUCGGACGUAUACCUUGGAACCUGACCGGAGAUCCACUCCCACCCUCAUACUGCACUCGCCCCCGGUGAUAGUCAAGAGUGGCCCGGUUCUUUCCAAGCCAGUCAAUACCUAAUAUCACCACAAGAUCCACAGGCAUGACCCUGUCUGGGAUCACCACUGGGAUGUCCCGAAUCACUCCUAGUGAACUCAUAACUUGCCAACCGGCCGUGUUCACUACCCCAGGACAAUCCCCCGUUCCCAACUGGAACAACCCCGUUCCGAGCAUCCCUGGGCUCACAAAGCUAUGUGUAGCACCAGUAUCAAAAAGUAUGUGUGUUUCCACACCACCAAUACUUAGGGUCCCUACAUAUGACCCAAUCUAAGUAUCUAACCAUUCUAAGUUUCGUACCAUGCAAUUCUAUUGAAUUGAAAAGGUGAAGAUCACACAAUUACCAGUGAUCGCUUGGAAUGGCCCGGUCCUGUCCUCAUCCUUGGACAACUCAUAGACGCGCGGUGCUGAAGUCUGUCCGCGGUUCGGAUCCGGCUGCUAACCUCUCCUCGGCUCUUGCUUGGCCCGGAUGACAGCUUAGGACAAUCCUUUCGGAGAUGUCCCUUCUUUCCACAGUAAUGGCAUGUCCAUGUAUCACCACUAGCCCCUUGCUCCUGUCUAGGACAGUCACGAGCUGAGUGAUCCAUCUUGCCACAUCGGAGACAGGCUCCCAUUGCUCUCCAGCAUUCACCACCAUGAUGUCUGCCGCACUUGGGACACUCAGGCCUACCACUUGAAGGCUUACCUUCGUCAGCCUGUUCCCUCUUCCUCUUGCGGUCAUUGCUACCACCACUAGGAGCCGUGUGACUCCGGAUUUUCAGCUUAGCCUCCUCGGCCAAGUUAGUCUCAAACAUAGCCAUCCUUUCAACCAGUUCAGACACAGUGUGAAAGGUGCGAACUGAGCAGUAGGUUUGGAGCUCAACCCUUACGCCUCUUAUGAACCGAUGAACCUGUACUGACUCGUCCUCUAACUCCUUACCCACAUAACGCCAGAGACGGUUGAAUUCUUCUUCAUACUCUCUUACUGUCCUGCAUCCCUGAACCAGGUCCAAGAACUUAGCCUCUAGACGAUCCCAUGCCUCAGCUGGGCAGUACUUGUGGUUGAACUCCACCUCAAAGUUGGAGAAGCGUUCAAUGCUGCCACUGGUACGCUUUUCUAGAGCCAACCACCAGUUGUGAGCAUCACCUUCCAAGAAGUGAACUGCAAUGUCCUUCUUGUAGUCAUCUGGGCAUCGAGUUAAGCUGAAAUUACAGACUAGCCUGCUCCUCCACUCGUCAGCCUCUAAUGGAUCAACACUUCCAGCAAAGUGUUUAGUCCCCAGCUUGGAUAUGUGCUCAAGCAGCUUCAGAUAAUCCAUCCUCUUAGCUGUCCUAGCUGGGGGAUCGAUUUCAAUCCCCUCAGCCACUUCCUCCAACUGCUGCUGAGAUCCUCGACCAGCUGCCUGAGCUGCCGCAAUCGGACCCGUCCGGUCAUUCCCCAAAGGAAUGGCUGUCCUUACAGGCGUGAAUGCCUGGGUCAAGGCCAAGAUCUGAGUCCCCAUAGCCUUCAUGGCUUCUAGCACCUCCUUCAUAGACGGUUCAGCAGUCUGAUUCACUUGACCAGCUGUUCCGCCUACCUGAUCGUCCUGGCGACCAGUCUGCGAGGACUCUCCUUGCUCCUCAAACCCCCUUUCUUGUUGUCGUCCAGCUCCAUCAACUGGUUCCAGCUCCGGUUCCAGCUGACGUCCUGAUCCGUCCACACGAACCUCAGUCGGAUUCACCUGAACAACAGGAGGCCCGAUCUCCACAUUUGUCCCAUCCGUUUGGAUUGGCAACAACACGGUCGGGUUAACCCCAUCAUCAACUCAUAUAAGGAAACACGCAAUCCCUUAGGCUAACUACGCAAUCAACCAGACCUUACCAUGAGACUCAGCCGGAUGUGUGGUGAUUUCCCAUAACCCCAUAACAAUCCUAGAACCAACUCUGCUCUGAUUCAACUUGUAAGACCCGAUCCUGGCUCCAAAGCCCAACUUGGACCCGCAUACACACAGGACGUCCAUGGGUGUCCGUCAGCACACACAGGACGUCCGUGUGUGCCCUCAGCACACACAAGACGUCCGUGGCUGUCUGUGUGUGUCCGUCAACACACAUAGGACGUUCGUGGCUGUCCAUCAGUACACAUAUCAGCACGCUGGUCCUUGGACUCCGCAUGCUGACCCUUCCCGUGGACAUUUCGGGUGAUUUUGGCCCACGUGGGCUGUCUGUUCAAUACACACAGGACGUCCGUGGAUGUCCGCCAGAACACACAGGACGUCCGUGGCUGUCCGUGUGUGUCCGUCAGCACACACAUGACGUCCGUGGCUGUCCAUCAGUACACAUAUCAGCACGUUGGUCCUUGGACUCCGCACGCUGACCCUUCCCGUGGACAUUUGGGUGAUUUGGGCCCACGUGGGCUGUCUGUUCAGUACACACAGGACGUCCGUGGGUGUCCCUCAGCACACACAGGAUGUCUGUGGCUGUCCGUCAGCACACACAGGACGACCGUGGCUGUCCAUCAGUACAUAUAAGCACGCUGGCCCUUCCCGUGCACUGUUCGGGUGAUUUUGGCCCACGUGGCCUGUCUAUUCAGUACACACGGAACGUCCAUGGGUGUCCGUAAGCACACACAGGACGUCUGUGUGUGCCAUUAGCACACACAGGACGUCCAUGGCUGUUCGUGUGUGUCCGUCAGCACACACAGGACAUCCGUGGCUGUCCAUCAUUACACAUAUCAGCAAGUUGGUCCUUGGACUCCGCACGCUGACCCUUCCCGUGGACAUUUUGGGAGAUUUUGGCCGAUGUGGGCUGUCUGUUCAGAACACACAGGACGUCUGUGGGUGUCCACCAGAACACAAAGGACGUCCGUGGCUGUCCGUGUGUGUCCGUCAGCACACACAGGACGUCCGUGGCUGUCCAUCAGUACACAUAGCAGCACGGGUGUCCUUGGACUCCGCAUGCUGAUCCUUCCCGUGGAAAUUUCGGGUGAUUUUUGCCCACGUGGCCUGUCUGUUCAGUACACACAGGACGUCCGUGGGUUUCCGUGUGUGUCCGUCAGCACACACAGGACGUCUGUGGUUGUCCAUCAGUACACAUAUCAGCACGUUGGUCCUUGGACUCAGCACGCUGACCCUUCUCGUGGACUAUUUGGGUGAUUUUGGCCCAUGUGAACUGUCUGUUCAGUACUCACAGGACGUCCGUGGGUGUCCGCUAGCACACACAGGACGUCCGUGGCUGUCCGUGAGUGUCCGUGUGUGUCCAUCUGUGUCUGUCAGCACACAGAAGACGUAUGUGUCAGUCAGCACACACAGGACGUAUGUGGCUGUCCAUCAGUACAUAUAUCAGCAAGUUGGUACAUGGACUCAGCACGCUGACCCUUCCCGUGGACAUUUCGGGUGAUUUUGUCCCACUUGGGUUGUAUGUUCAGUACACACAGGACGUCCAUGGGUGUCCGCCAACACACACAGGACGUCCGUGGCUGUCCGUCAGCACACAGAGGACAUCCCUGGCAGUCCGUGGCUGUCCGUCAGCACCCACAGGACGUCCGUAGCUGUCUGUGGCUGUCCGUCAACACACACAGGACGUCCGUGGCUGUCCGUGUGUGUCCAUCAGCACACACAGGACGUCUGUGGCUGUCCAUCAGUACACAUAUCAGCACGCUGGCCCUUGGACUCAGCACGCUGGCCCUUCCCGUGGACUGUUUGGGUGAUUUUGGCACACGUGGACUGUCUGUUCAGUACACACAGGCCGUCUGUGGGUGUCCACCAGCAUACACAGGACGUCCGUGGCUCUCUGUGGCUGUCCGUCAGCACAGACAGGACGUCCGUGGCUGUCCGUGUGUGUCCUUCAGCACACACAGGACGUCCGUGGCUGUCCAUCAGUACACAUAUCAGCACGCUGGCCCUUGGACUCAGCACGCUGGCCCUUACCGUGGACUGUUUGGGUUAUUUUGGCACAGGUGGGCUGUCUGUUCAGUACACACAGGCCGUCCGUGGGAGUCCACCAGCAUACACAGGACGUCAGUGACUGUCCGUGUGUGUCCAUCAGCACACACAGGACGUUCGUGGCUGUCUGUUUGUGUCCGGGUGUGUCCGUGUGUGUCCGUCAGCACACACAAGAUGUCCGUGGCUGUCCAUCAGUACACAUAUCAGCACCCUGGUCUUUGGACUCAGCACGCUGGCCCUUCCUGUGGACUGUUUGGGUGAUUUUGGCCCACGUGGGCUGUCUGUUCAGUACACAGAGGACGUCCGUGGGUGUCCGCCAGCACACACAUGACGUCCAUGGCUGUCUCUGUGUGUCCGUCAGCACACACAGGAUGUCCGUGGCUGUCCGUGUGUGUUUGUGUUUGUCCGUCAGCAGACACAAGACGUCUGUGGCUGUCCAUCAGUACACAUAUCAGCACGCUGGCCCUUGGACUCAGCACGCUGGCCCUUCCAGUGGACUGUUUGGGUGAUUUUGGCACACGUGGGCUGUCUGUUCAGUACACACAGGCCGUCCGUGGGAGUCCACCAGCAUACACAGGACGUCCGUGGCUGUCUAUGGCUGUCCGUCAGCACACACAGGACAUCCGUGGCUGUCCGUGUGUGUCCGUCAGCACACACAGGACAUCUGUGGCUGUCCAUCAGUACACAUAUCAGCACGGUGGUCCUUGGACUCCGCUGACUGACCCUUCCCGUGGACAUUUCGGGUGAUUUUGUCCCACUUGGGUUGUCUGUUCAGUACACACAGGACGUCCAUGGGUGUCCGCCAACACACACAGGACGUCCGUGGCUGUCCGUCAGCAUACAGAGGACGUCCCUGGCAGUCCAUGGCUGUCCGGCAGCACCCACAGGACGUCCGUAGCUGUCUGUGGCUGUCCGUCAGCACACACAGGACGUCCGUGGCUGUCCGUGUGUGUCCGUGUGUGUCCAUAAGCACACACAGGACGUCCGUGGCUGUCCAUCAGUACACAUAUCAGUACGCUGGCCCUUGGACUCAGCACGCUGGCCCUUCCCGUGGACUGUUCGGGUGCUUUUAGCCCACGUGGGCUGUCUGUUCAGUACACACAUGACGUCCGUGGGUGUCCGUCAGCACACACAUGACGUCCGUGGCUCUCCGUGUGUGUCCGUCAGCAUACACAGGACGUCUGUGGCUGUCCGUGUGUGUCCGUGUGUGUCCAUCAGCACACACAGGCACACACAGGAUGUCCGUGGCUGUCCAUCAGUACACAUAUCAGCACGUUGGUCGUUGGAAUCAGCACGCUGGCCCUUCCCGUGGACUGUUUGGGUGAUUUUGGCACACGUGGGCUGUCUAUUCAGUACACACAGGCCGUCCGUGGGAGUCCACCAGCAUACACAGGACGUCCUUGGCUGUCUGUGGCUGUCCGUCAGCACACACAGGACGUCCGUGGCUGUCCGUGUGUAUCCCUGUGUGUCCGUCAGCACACACAGGACGUCUGUGGCUGUCCAUCAGUACACAUAUCAGCACGUUGGUCCUUAGACUCAGCACGCUUACCCUUCCCGUGGACUUUUCGGGUGAUUUUGGCCCAUGUGGGCUGUCUGUUCAGUACACACAGGACGACCGUGGGUGUCUGCCAGCACACACAGGACGUCUGUGGCUGUUCGUGUGUGUCCGUCUGUGUCCAUCUGUGUCUGUCAGCACACACAGGACGUCCGUGACUGUCCGUGUGUGUCCCUGUGUGUCCGUCAGCACACAUAGGACGUCCGUGGCUGUCCAUCACUACACAUAUCAGCACGCUGGUCCUUGGUGUGUCCGUCAGCACACACAAGAUGUCUGUGGCCGUCCAUCAGUACACAUAUCAGCCCCCUGGUCUUUGGACUCAGCAUGCUGGCCCUUCCCAUGGACUGUUUGGGUGAUUUUGGCCCACGUGGGCUGUCUGUUCAGUACACAGAGGACGUCCGUGGGUGUCCGCCAGCACACACAUGACGUCCAUGGCUGUCUCUGGGGGUCNNNNNNNNNNNNNNNNNNNNNNNNNNNNNNNNNNNNNNNNNNNNNNNNNNNNNNNNNNNNNNNNNNNNNNNNNNNNNNNNNNNNNNAUGUCGUGGCUGUCCGCGUGUGUCCGUGUGUGUCUGUGUUUGUCCGUCAGCAGACACAAGACGUCUGUGGCUGUCCAUCAGUACACAUAUCAGCACGCUGUUCCUUGGAUUCAGCACGCUGGCUCUUCCCGUGGACUGUUCGGGUGAAGUUGGCCCACGUGGGCCGUCUGUUCAGAACACACAAGAUUUUCGUGGGUGUCCGUCAGCACACACAGGACGUCUGUGUGUGUCCGUCAGCACACACAGGACGUCCGUGGCUGUCCGUGUGUGUCCUUCAGCACACACAGGACGUCCGUGGCUGUCCAUCAGUACACAUAUCAGCACAUUGGUUCUUGGACUCAGCACGCUGGCCCUUCCCGUGGACUAUUUGGGUGAUUUUGGCCCACGUGGGCUGUCUGUUCAGUACACACAGGACGUCCGUGGCUGUCAGUGGCUGUCCGUUAGCACACACAUGACGUUUGUGGCUGUCCGUGUGUGUCCGUGUGUGUCCCUAUGUGUCAGUACACACACAGGACGUCCGUGGCUAUCCGUCGCUGUCUGUCAGCACACACAUGACGUCUGUGUCUGUCCGUGUGUGUCCCUGUGUGUCCAUCAGCACACACAGGACGUCUGUGGCUGUCCAUUAGUCCGUGUGUGUCCGUCAGCACAAACAGGACGUCCGUGGCUGUCCAUCAGUACACAUAUCAGCAAGUUGGUACUUGGACUCAGCACGCUGACCCUUCCCGUCGACAUUUCGGGUGAUUUUGUCCCACGUGGGUUGUCUGUUCAGUACACACAGGACGUCCAUGGGUGUCCGCCAACACACACAGGACGUCCGUGGCUGUCCGUCAGCACACAGAGGACAUCCCUGGCAGUCCGUGGCUGUCCGUCAGCACCCACAGGACGUCCGUAGCUGUCUGUGGCUGUCCGUCAGUACACACAGGACGUCCGUGGGUGUCCGUCAGAACACACAUGACGCCCGUGGCUCUCCGUGUGUGUCCGUCAGCAUGCACAGGACGUCCGUGGCUGUCCUUGUGUGUCCGUCUGUGUCUAUCAGCACACACAGGACCUCCGUGGCUGUCCAUCAGUACACAUAUCAGCACGCUGGACCUUGGACUCAGCACGCUGGCCCUUCCCGUGGACUGUUCGGGUUCUUUUGGCCCACGUGGGCUGUCUGUUCAGUACACACAGGACGUCCGUGGGUGUCCGUCAGAACACACAUGACGCCCGUGGCUCUCCGUGUGUGUCCGUCAGCAUGCACAGGACGUCCGUGGCUGUCCUUGUGUGUCCGUCUGUGUCUAUCAGCACACACAGGACCUCCGUGGCUGUCCAUCAGUACACAUAUCAGCACGCUGGCCCUUGGACUCAGCACGCUGGCCCUUCCCGUGGACUGUUUGGGUGAUUUUUGGCACACGUGGGCUGUCUGUUCAGUACACACAGGCUGUCCGUGCGAGUCCACCAGCAUACAUAGGACGUCCGUGGCUGUUUAUGGCUGUCCGUCAGCACACACAGGACGUCUGUGGCUGUCCAUCAGUACACAUAUCAGCACGGUGGUCCUUGGACUCCGCACGCUGACCCUUCCCAUGGACAUUUCGGGUGAUUUUGGCCCAUGUGGGCUGUCUGUUCAGUACACACAGGACGUCCGUGGGUGUCCGCCAGCACACACAGGACGUCCGUGGCUAUCCGUCGCUGUCUGUCAGCACACACAUGACGUCUGUGUCUGUCCGUGUGUGUCCCUGUGUGUCCAUCAGCACAUGACUGUCCGUGUGUGUCCAUCAGCACACACAGGACUGUCACGCCCCCAAUCCUGGAAAGGAUUGUCGGGACGGCCAUGGUUCGAGGAAACGUACCAGCCAGUCUUAGGACAUCAAGGCAAGCGUUCCAUGGUCAAGAAAGAAGGUUAAGUACAUAAGGAAACUUAGACUUAACCUUAUAAGAGCAAAGAGACAGCUAAGACGAGUAAGACGGUAGCUGGAUGAGAUAGAGAAGUAGCUCGACCAGCUUAACGAAGAUAGGUUGAGUUCACUCCAGCUCAGCCACUACUAAGUCAGCUCCACUAGCUGGACUACUAGCUCACUCAGCUGAGGCAGCUGGGAGUCAGCUCAUCUCAGCUAGACGGACUGUUCGGGUUUUAGGCCGAUGGUCCGGGUCCGGGUCAGUGGCGGGCUGUGAGGUCCGGCCAUGAGGCCAUGGGCUGUUGGGUCCUUGGACAAGGCCGUGGGCUAAGUCCAGGAGUCUUGGGGCGUGGGUUGGGCUUAUGACCGACCCCAAACCCAAUCAGAAAGGGCGAAAGGAUGCAACCUGAUUUUGUUGCACAUGAAAACACCUUCUGGCAGUAGUGGCAAAUGCACCUGUCACGGCUCUGCUUUGUCCUGGUGUAAUGAUUCCAGACAUCUGAUCUUGGCACAACAACUUUUUUCACCUUUUUUGCCUCAGGACUUUCUUCGCAAGGUGUACAUGUCUCCUUCCUCUUUCCACACCUAUCUGGUGUUUCAAAGUUCUCGUAUUCAACCCCAUCUUGCUUGUCAGCUCCACUGUUUGUGUUCUUGAAUGUUGAUGAAGCCAUUUGCUAAGAAAUGACAAACAAUAGUCAGAUUAAACAAAACAAAACAGACAAAACAACUAAAGAUUUGACACAUUUUAGAACAUGAAAAAACAGAACAUCAACAUCAUCGCAUAGACAUGAACAAAAGUUAAAAAAAACAAUCAUCUUUGCGGAUCAAUCAAGAUAAAUAAAACGUCCCUUUUUAUAAGAAAAUGAAACAACUUAUGAUGAACAUCAUCUAACAACAGAACAGAACUCUAUGAAUUAAGAACAUAAGACGUUGUUCUGUUCAUGAAAACAACUAGCUGAAUAGGAAACCCAUAAACCCGACAAAUCCGAAUGACCCAUAAACCCCAGAACAUCUAGCCAUUACUCGAUUGCAGAGAAAAGGAGGAAGAGUAUCUCACGGUGAUGGCUAGAUUCUCACCUCUUAAUGAAAUCGUCGAAGGAGGAGGAGAGGAGUUUUGGUGCUUUGUACUUCGGUGAAGAGCACACGUUAUAUAAGAAAGGAGAUACAAGGGUUUGUGAAUCACAGAACCGAUUUGAAGAGAAAUCGGAGAGGAUAUGUUUAGGAAAGAGGAUCAUGAUUUAGGGAAAUCUCAAUAUUGAGAAAAAAAGAUCGAAUCGUAACAGGAUCAAGAGAAAUCGAAAAGGGGAAAAUGGAAACCUAGACCUAUAUCUCUCGAUGCUCGGGUAUCCAUUUACCCGAUCGGGUUGGUGCUUUUUACCCGACCCGACCCGUAACCCGUUAUACCAAAUAUAUGUGACCAUUCGGGUAUUUCUCAAGAUCCGAACCCGACCCGAACCGGUUUUAUCGGACCGGGUUCGGUUCGGGUGAUCGGGUUUGGUUUUAAUGCCCUGCCCUAGAUGCAAGUGGCCGAAAGGGGACAACCCUUGGCCGAUGGUGCCCAUUCGCUAGCAAGUCGUGCCUGUUCGUGGGGCAAGACUUACCCCCUCUUUUUCUAUAAAUAUGGGGCCUUUCCUGUCGAUUUCAUUAUCAAAUUCCAGAGUAAAAUACUCAUGGAAAAACGUAGAGAGAGAGAGAGAGAGUUCUGGCCAAGAGAUCGGCCGGAAAAUGGCCGGUCGUGGUGGUUUAGUAUCUCCGGCAAGGAGAACGGUUUAGGAGAGAGGAGGCCGUGUGGUUAUGAAUACCCAAGGCAUAGAGAAAGGUCUGUAGAAGGACUCCAACCCCGUGGUUCAGUCAGAUAUGGUCAGUGGGGUAACCACCCACUCAUCGGCUAAGACCAUCGGACAGUCCGAACCGGUCUAGCCAUGGGCAUUUGGAUUGUGUCCUAUUCUUCUUAUUCUUUUCAUCUAUUUCUUCUUCUACUCCUUCUGUACAUUGGCGUGUCCUUGUUGAUGUGUUGGGAUUGGUUUUAACCGUGGUUCUGGUUGAGUAAUGCGGUCGCGGUCCAUAACCGAUGAGUUAGGCGCGUGCAUGGUCUAAACCGGCCUCAGGUGAUCCGAUUGGAUAGGGGCGGUUCUAUUCUGUUCUGAACGGUUGCAACCCUUCCCUGAACAGUCACAAUGGUUCAUGACUUGUGUAGGUUAAGGCGUGGUCCUUUGGCCAUAGGCCGGACACACGCACGGACCAGACAGUCCAUACGGACGGAUAGGUCGAACAGUUGGAACAUCUGAAUGGGUGCGAGAUACCAAGGGUCAUGAGUUCCAAACGGUGCCAUUGGUUCAAGGCUUAGGCCGAACCAAGUGGACAGUCCGCGGCUGCAUAGUCGAACGGACGGACGGUUAGUUUAACCGGAGUGUUGUGUCGCAAGGUCUGAUUGGUUGCAAGGCAAUCCGGUUUGGUCUUGGGCCUUACUCUGUGGUAUGGAUCCAGGCUUUGGGACGGAUCAGGUAAGAAGGUCCGUGAGCCUUUGGGCCGGACUUAUAACUGGUCGAUCGCACCUAGAUCUUAACCAGACGGUUAGACGGGACUAUGGACGAUCCGGCUAUGGUUGGAUGGUUCUGGCCGCAAAGGCUAAGUGGGAUAUCUUACAAUCAACUUUGGGUUUGUGAGUAGGUUAGGCGCCAUAUGUCUUAUGUAGGGAGUAGACCUACAUGAUGGCAAUGGAAGGCCGGUUAUAUCAGUACAUGCUAAGUGGACGAUGGUUUAUCAAGUCUAGUGGUCGGAUCAUGUUUCAUGAGGAUGGGUCGAUGGCCGAACACUAGUAUGGAUAGUCACGUUGCUGGAGUAAGAGUAUUGAUAUGAUGCUUCUAGAUAUCAACCUUGGUGUUGAUAGCUUCGAGAUUGGUUAAGAGUCAUGACGAAGUGUAUGGCUAGUACUAUGUGUCGUAGACCAUAGGUACUAAGCCUAGGUAUAAUUGUUCAAGGAAGGCCGUGUAAGAUCUGAUCAUGGUUGAGUAUGGACGACCUGACCUCUGGAUGAUGGUCUAAGGUGUCAGUACUAACCUGAUUAAUGAAUGCAUCGGUUGGUAUGAACAAGUCAUAUCUAUUGUCUAGGUUAAGUCCCAAGGCCGGUCAGGCCAGAUGAUGACUCAUCAGUUCCAAGUCAUGUGAGGAAGGUUGGUUGAUUGCCUUAGGAUCUCAUGAGCUUUGUCAGUCCAGAAGAUGGACUUGGUACUAUUGCCUAUAAGGAAAAAGGAUUUCGGAUUGUGCAUGAGCCGAGAAAGGCCAGAUGUAUAUCCUUUUCCUUUCGAAGACUUCUCAAAGGUUACUUACGUCUGUGGGGAUGGUUGGUUGAAUGACUAAGUACCUAGGGGAGCUGUUUAAUGCAGGAACAAAGAUAAAGACCAAUAAGAGACUCAAUGAGUUGAAUGAUUAGUUCGAGUCAACGGAGGACCGAUGAGCUAAUAAGCUCCAUAGAUGUGGCAAAGGUAUGAUCUAGCAUUUACUUAUGUAGAUCUAGAUAGAAUGGUUUAGGGGAAUGGAACCUCAGAAUCUUAUGGCUUGGUUUGGGUUUAGGAUUGACCUUUAAGCUAAUUGGUAGUUGAGUAAACUGACCAAGGCUAAGGUGAUUCGACCAGACAAGUGUUAGAUUGGUUUUAGACCAAUGGUUAACUAGAGAAUAUUCCGCUGCGUAUCUGUUGAAAGGAUCUAGGCUAUUAAUGACUAGGGAAGUCUUUAGCUAAGAUUUAAGUUAGCCCUCGCCUUUAGGCGAUAUUAUAAAUAAAGGGCAAAAAUUAAGAGGUUCGGCCAGGAAGUGGACCGAGCGACGUGAGGAAUCGACCGCGGCCUAGGCGGCCGGGAUUGGGUCUUACAAGGACGUUCGAGGCUGUCUGUUUGUGUCCGUGUGUGUCCGUCAGCACACACAAGAUGUCUGUGGCUGUCCAUCAGUACACAUAUCAGCACACUGGUCUUUGGACUCAGCAGACUGUUUGGGUGAUUUUGGCCCACGUGGGCUGUCUGUUCAGUACACAGAGGACGUCCGUGUGUAACACCCCCGAACCGUCCUAAGCAUAGGUCGACACACCGGCCAACAAUCAAACAAGAACAUGACCGACGGACGACCCACACCAGGGGUUGGAGAUGAAAGGCCAACCGGCCAGCCAACAAUCAAACAAGAACAUGACUGACCGUCCAAACCAACACCAUGGUCCGGAAGCGCUACGUGACGGGCUAGGGACAAUCCGGUCAGAGUCACAAACUUUACUCCACGACCUAGACCAGUUCAUCCACUAACUCGUCCCGCUGCGUCAAGGCAUAAGGCUUUGCAACCCGUACCUAGAGUUAGCGUUUUCCGUUAGAUCAAGGCCUAAGGCUUUUCAACCCGUACCUCGACCUAACGUUGUGUUAGACCGGACUAGUCAAAUAUCAGAGUACUCAUGAAGCGCAUAUAAAACAAUUACUUUUAUUGAUUCAAGAAAUAUUCAUACAUUGAAUAAUUCAAGACUGGGCCCGGCCUAAUGCCAAAUCGAGUCAACAUAACACAAUACACAAUACCGUUUACAAAAGGCAUGAAAAUCUACACCGGCGGUCCUAUCGUCCAGCACGACCGUUUACAAAAGGCAUGAAAAUCUACACCGGCGGUCCUAACGUCCAGCACCAAGCUAUCCGAUCAUCCUUACCUAAAGCGACCUGCAAAAAGGACAACGGAGUUGGAUGAGUAAUCUAGUAUUACUCAGUGAGCUGGCGGCCUCUACCCGCAACCUAGACUCUACCCAGACAACCCAAAAUAACAAUCAAUCUAGCCCUAGCAUGCAAUAAAAGCUAAGGCUAAGCAAACCGUUACUAAGUUAGACUUGGCCUCCUGCCAUGAUCUAGCUUCAAGUAACGGGAACCUGCAUUAAAACAAGUCAACAAGCAAUCCCUAGUUAACCAUAUAUACGCUUGAGUUCAGUACUCAUGUAGUGUUAGACACUUAGACUAUACAAAUACCAUUGGCCGAUCGACCAACAAUCAAACAAGAACAUGAUCGGCCAACCAAUGAUACCGCAUAGCUUUAAUAUCCACCACCCUUCACAAGCAAUCACUCAAACACAUAUAGGCCAACGUCAGGCCUACACUAACCAAAUACACACCAAGCCUAAUCCGGUACCUAAACCGGACUUAUGACUUAUUGUCAGAACCUGCAAGCAAAUCAGUCAACCACAAACACAAUCACAAUAAUAAGACUAUGAGUAUCUAUGACUCGAUCUAACUCGUAACACCGUAUAUCGGUGCUACACUAACUCGAGGGUUCCAUAAUCCUCUACGACACUCUAACACAACACUCUAACCUGGGCCCUGGUGACUUCGUGUUCCUCCUCCCUAUCGGCAAUAUCCUAUCUCCCUACCACAAAGGCCAGAAGAAGGAACUUUCAACCGACCGCGGCCCACAGUCCUUCGGGUCACCGCGCGACAGCCCACAGUCCUUCGGGUCACUGCCACAUUACACCGUCGUGUAAUACUCAGCCAUAGUACAUGACACCGUUCGUCUGAGUCUUCCCGAUCCAGCGAAUAAGGGGUUUCCUUGAACCCGCUGGGUACGAGGCCGAGGAAACACUAAUCACCCCUACACAAGCCUAGUAUGGGCGGGUCACGCACAUACUGUCGGCACACUCACACAACACAAACUCAAUCUAGAACCUAACCUAAAGAUAAUGUUCCAGAUCCUAACUAGACACGACUCCACAAGACUAACCAUAGUACCAGUAGUCCGGCCUAUAUGGCCUAGGACCCUUAGUACUAAUAACUAAACAAUAAUAUCAAUACUAAACAAAUAAAUCAAACCGUUAUCCAGAUAGUCCAGCCUCCUGCUAUGAAACUAUCCUUAAAGAUAUCGGGAACCUGCACUCAACCAUGUCAACACGCAAGAAUAGAAAACAUGAUGCAUCCUAGCCCUAGUCCUAGUCAGGUUAUUAACUCAGUCUUAAUUUCAUUCAUCUCAGCUUAGCCCUUGCUAAACUGAGUCCGGUUCCAUAAAUAAAAUAACCCUAAGGACUCUACCAUUUAAUAGCGUGAUCAUUCUAAUCUAUAUGCAGACUCGAUCUACCCUAAAUUCCAAGUGGAAUUCACACAAACCAACUCACAGUGUUCUAGGCGAGAAGCUGCUGGUUGAUCGGAGAGGACUUGGCCAAAACCAAAGGGACGCCUUGACUGGACUGGACUGAACUGACCUCGACUUGGACAGACCCUUGGAUUGAUCAUGAAGACACUAACAGGUUUGGACGGACUGAUCUGAACAGAACCUUCUUUUAGCUCCUCGACAGUUCUUCGGACUUUCCGGCAGAGCAUCGAGCAGAACUUCGACUGAUCUGAAUCCGUGGAACUGAACUAAUCUUGGACAGCACCUCCACUUGAUUGUAGGAGAAUAUGACUGGCUUGGACGGAUUGAAUUGUACAGAGCUUCCGCGUCACAAUCGUAGAGAAUCGCCGAUUGGACGGAACUGGCCUUCUCGGUGGAGUAUCGGUCUUCAGAAUCGACCAUACUCUAGAAUCGAUCACUUCCUUUCUCUCUCUCUCUCUCUAUAGCCACGUUGACUUGACUCCCAUCUGAUCUGAUCUUCACUUGAUUGACCUUCAGUUGGACAGAACCUUCCCAAGGCAAUGACUCGAAAUCAAUAGAGAACUGACCUCGAAAACUCUCUAAAACUCUCGAUACAGCUCGGAAUCACUUGCUUUCUUUUUCUAUCUUUCUCUCAUGUUUUUAACUUGGUUUGGACAGGUCUGGAUGUGAAGAAAUGAGUUGGGGUCGUGGGGUAUUUAUAGGAAACACCAGCCAAUCAGCUUCAGGUUGGUGGCAGCCCGUGUGUCGCUCCGCAUGGCUCCGGACGCAUGCACGGCGACACCUCGUGCUCCACAUGGCUGGCUGCAUGUCCAGGACACAUGCAGGACGCCACCACUCCUCCCAGAUGUAAGGUUGCAUGACUGGAGCUCAUGCAAGGCGCCACACAUCCUCACACAUGUCGAUCAGCAUGCUUCGAUUGCAUGCGUCGCGACAUCUCGUGCUUGGCCGAUCCACCUCGUGCUCCACAUGGCUGGCUGCAUGUCCAGGACACAUGCAGGACGCCACCACUCCUCCCAGAUGUCAGGCUGCAUGACUGGAACUCAUGCAAGGCGCCACAGCAUCACACACAUGGCUGGCUGCAUGCUUCGGUUGCAUGCGCGGAAACACCUCGUGCUUGGUCGAUCCACCUCGUGCUUCUACAUGUCAAGCUGCAUGUGCAGCUUCCAUGCAUGGCGACACCUCGAGCUUCUGUAGACACUCAGCUUGCUGGAUGGUUGACACCACGUUCUGAACCCAUGCAACAAGCCACCUCGACCUUCUCGGUCUAUUCGCCUGAUUUCGAUCAUUCCGGUGAAUAUUCGUCCCGCGAUCAAUCCCAAAUAUUUUUCUACAGCCUCUCUUAUGUGCAGAACAAUUUUAAUAAACUCCACUUGAUCUCUGAAGUUGAGGGGAAAUAUGUCCUGAGCCUCCGGCUUCCUCGAAAAAUUUCAUAAUACCGAAAUUAGGGUUUUCGUCCAAUUUCGGGUUUUCCCGUCGUGCUUCAAUCCCGUCGGGCUUUCUUCCCGUCGUGCUUACUUCCCGUCCUGCUUAAUUUCCAUCAUGUUUCCAAUGUCUUCGAAAUAAUAUUCCGCUGAUACGAAGUUUUGCAGAAAACUUCGUGGUGAAGAAACGUCAUUCUUCCCAAACGUCGAGCUUCUAAACCGUCGUGCUUCCAAAAAUGUUAUGCUUCCAAAACGUCCAUCUCAUCAAUCUAAGGCAUCUUCUAACUAUGGUCGACCAACUUAUUCGACNNNNNNNNNNNNNNNNNNNNNNNNNNNNNNNNNNNNNNNNNNNNNNNNNNNNNNNNNNNNNNNNNNNNNNNNNNNNNNNNNNNNNNNNNNNNNNNNNNNNNNNNNNNNNNNNNNNNNNNNNNNNNNNNNNNNNNNNNNNNNNNNNNNNNNNNNNNNNNNNNNNNNNNNNNNNNNNNNNNNNNNNNNNNNNNNNNNNNNNNNNNNNNNNNNNNNNNNNNNNNNNNNNNNNNNNNNNNNNNNNNNNNNNNNNNNNNNNNNNNNNNNNNNNNNNNNNNNNNNNNNNNNNNNNNNNNNNNNNNNNNNNNNNNNNNNNNNNNNNNNNNNNNNNNNNNNNNNNNNNNNNNNNNNNNNNNNNNNNNNNNNNNNNNNNNNNNNNNNNNNNNNNNNNNNNNNNNNNNNNNNNNNNNNNNNNNNNNNNNNNNNNNNNNNNNNNNNNNNNNNNNNNNNNNNNNNNNNNNNNNNNNNNNNNNNNNNNNNNNNNNNNNNNNNNNNNNNNNNNNNNNNNNNNNNNNNNNNNNNNNNNNNNNNNNNNNNNNNNNNNNNNNNNNNNNNNNNNNNNNNNNNNNNNNNNNNNNNNNNNNNNNNNNNNNNNNNNNNNNNNNNNNNNNNNNNNNNNNNNNNNNNNNNNNNNNNNNNNNNNNNNNNNNNNNNNNNNNNNNNNNNNNNNNNNNNNNNNNNNNNNNNNNNNNNNNNNNNNNNNNNNNNNNNNNNNNNNNNNNNNNNNNNNNNNNNNNNNNNNNNNNNNNNNNNNNNNNNNNNNNNNNNNNNNNNNNNNNNNNNNNNNNNNNNNNNNNNNNNNNNNNNNNNNNNNNNNNNNNNNNNNNNNNNNNNNNNNNNNNNNNNNNNNNNNNNNNNNNNNNNNNNNNNNNNNNNNNNNNNNNNNNNNNNNNNNNNNNNNNNNNNNNNNNNNNNNNNNNNNNNNNNNNNNNNNNNNNNNNNNNNNNNNNNNNNNNNNNNNNNNNNNNNNNNNNNNNNNNNNNNNNNNNNNNNNNNNNNNNNNNNNNNNNNNNNNNNNNNNNNNNGACUCAGCACGCUGGCCCUUCGUGUGGAUUGUUUGGGUGAUUUUGGCCUACGUAGCCUGUCUGUUCAGUACACACAGGACGUCCUUGGGUGUCCGUCAGCACACACAGGACGUCCGUGUGUGUCCAUCAGCAUGGACUCAGCACGCUGGCCCUUCGUGUGGAUUGUUCGGGUGAUUUUGGCCUACGUAGCCUGUCUGUUCAGUACACACAGGACGUCCUUUGGUGUCCGUCAGCACACACAGGACGUCCGUGUGUGUCCAUCAGCACACACAGGACGUCUGUGGUUGUCCGUGUGUGUCCGUCUCUGUCUGUCAGCACACACAGGACGUCAGUGGCAGUCCAUCAGUACACAUAUGAGCACGUUGGUCCUUGGAAUCAGCACGCUGGCCCUUCCCGUGGACAUUCUGGGUGAUUUUAGCGUGUCUGUCAGCACACACAGAACACAUUGGUCCUUGGAAUCAGCACGCUGGCCCUUCCCGUGGACAUUUCGGGUGAUUUUGGCCCACGUGGGUUGUCUAUUCCGUACACACAGGACGUCUGUGGGUGUCCGCCAACACAUACAGGACGUCCGUGGCUGUCUGUGGCUGUCUAUCAGCACACAGAGGACGUCCGUGGCAGUCUGUGGCUGUCCAUCAGUACAAUCAGGAUGUCCGUGGCUGUCUGUGGCUGUUCGUCAGCACACACAGAACGUCUGUGGCUGUCUGUGUGUGUCCGUGUGUGUCCGUCAGCACACACAGGACGUCCGUGGCUGUCCAUCAGUACACAUAUGAGCACGUUGGUUCUUGGAAUCAGCACGCUGGCCCUUCCCGUGGACAUUCUGGGUGAUUUUAGCCCACGUGGGUUGUCUAUUCAGUACACACAGGUUGUCCGUGGGUUUCCGCCAAGACACACAGGACGUCCGUGGCUGUCUGUGGCUGUCUAUCAGCACACAGAGGACGUCUGUGGCAGUCCAUGGCUGUCCAUCAGCACACACAUGAUGUCCGUGGCUGUCUAUGGCUGUUUGUCAGCACACACAGGACGUCAUGGCUGUCCAUCAGCACACACAGGAUGUCCGUGGCUGUCUAUGGCUGUUUGUCAGCACACACAGGACGUCUAUGGCUGUUUGUGUGUGUCCGUGUGUGUCCGUCAGAACACACAGGAUGUCCGUGGCUGUCCAUCAGUACACAUAUCAGCACGCUGGUCCUGGGACUCAGCACGCUGGACCUUCCCGUGGACUGUUCGGCUACUGUUGGCCCACGUGGGAUGUUUGUUCAGUACACACAGGACGUCCAUGGGUGUCCGUCAGCACACACAUGACGUCCGUGGCUGUCCGUGUGUGUCCGUCAGCACACACAGGACGGUCGUGGCUGUCCAUCUGAACAUAUCAGCACGCUGGUCCUUGGACUCAGCACGCUGGCCCUUCCCGUGGACUGUUCGGGUGAUUUUGGCCCACGUGGGCUGUCUGUUCAGUACACACAGGACAUCCGUGGGUGUCCGUCAGCACACACAUGACGUCUGUGGCUCUCCGUGUGUGUCCUUCAGCACACACAGGACGUCUGUGGCUGUCCGUGUGUGUCCAUGUGUGUCCAUCAGCACACACAGGACGUCCGUGGCUGUCCAUCAGUACACAUAUCAGCACGCUGGCCCUUGGACUCAGCACGCUGGCCCUUCCCGUGGACUGUUUGGGUGAUUUUGGCACACGUGGACUGUCUGUUCAGUACACACAGGCCGUCUGUGGGUGUCCACCAGCAUACACAGGACGUCCGUGGCUCUCUGUGGCUGUCCGUCAGCACAGACAGGACGUCCGUGGCUGUCCGUGUGUGUCCGUCAGCACACACAGGACGUCUGUGGCUGUCCAUCAGUACACAUAUCAGCACGUUGGUCCAUGGUCUCCGCACGCUGACCCUUCCCGUGGACAUUUUAGGUGAUUUUGGCCCACGUGGGCUGUCUGUUCAGUACACACAGGACGUCUGUGGGUGUCCGCCAGAACACACAGGACGUCCGUGGCUGUCCGUGACUGUUCGGGUGAUUUUGGCCCAUGUGGGCUGUCUGUUCAGUACACACAGGACAGCCGUGGGUGUCCGCCAGCACACACAGGACGUCCGUGACUGUCCGUGUGUGUCCGUCUGUGUCCAUCUGUGUCCGUUAGCACACACAACACGUCCGUGGGUGUCCAUCAGUACAUAUAUCAGCACGUUGGUCCUUGGACUCAGCACGCUGGCCCUUCCUGUGGAUUGUUCGGGUGAUUUUGGCCUACAUGGCCUGUCUGUUCAGUACACGUCCUCCACAUGUCUGGCCGCAUGGCCCGGUCGCAUGCAUCGCGACACCUCGUGCUUGGCCGUUCCACCUCGUGCUCCACAUGGCUGGCUGCAUGCCUCAGUUUCAUGCAGGAUGACACACCCACGUCCAGAUGGCCUGCUGCAUGACUGAAGUGCAUGCAGGUCGACACCCCAUCUCACACAUGGCUGGCCGCAUGCUUCGGUCGCAUGGAUCGCAACACCUCGUGCUCCACAUGUCUACUUGCAUGUACAGGUUGCAUGUACUGCAACACCUCCUGCUUCCCUUGACACACACACUGUCAAGAGACUGCCACCACGUCCUGAACACAUACACAUCAAGCCACCUCGAGCUUCUCGGUCGAUUCGGCCGAUUUCGGCCUUUCCGGUGAAUUUUCGUCCCGCGAUCAAUCCUAAAUAUUUUUCUACGCCCGUUCUGAUGGCCUGAAUAUUUUUAAUAAACCCUACUGGGACUCUGAUCUUGAGGAAAAAUAUUUACCGAGCUUUCGGCUUCUUCAAAAAAUUUCGUAAUACCGAUAUUUUGGGUUUUUCGCCCAAUUUCCGGUCUUCCUGUUGUGCUUCCUAAAGUGUCUUUCUUCAAACAUCAUUUGAAUCAAUCUACUACAUUGUCUGACCAUUGUCUAGUGGCAUACUUGACUCAUGGUUCAGACAAGAACAAUCUGAUUGUCCGCGACUCGACCACCCAAAGGAUACUCGACCAUUCUUAUUUUUUUUUAAGGGUUUCUACAUUCUCCCCCCGUUAACAGAAUUCGUCCUCGAAUUCUAAGGCUCUGAGGGGCCUCCUUCUUCCAUUACAACGUCCUCUCAGAAAAACUCUGGGUGAUCGGUUUUAAAUCUCGCUUCAUCUUCCCAAGUAACAUGAAUCAUGUUUUGUCUUCCCCAAAUACUUGUACUUCAGAAAUCUCACGAUUUUUGAGCUUCCGAAAACGCCGAUCUCCUAAUAUGAUUGGUCCUUCAGGAUACGUAAGGUUUGUCUACAACUCCUCGAUUCUCUUGGGCUUAACAGCACUUGGAUCCCGUAUAUGUUUCCGAAGCAUGGAAACAUGGAAUACUGGAUGUAGAUGCAUAUCUGCUGGCAGAUCCAAUCGGUAAGCUACCUCACCAACUUUACCGAUGAUCUUGUACGGACCAAUGAAUCUGACCGCAAGUUUCCCAACCUUGCCAAAUAUGUCCUUCUCUUUUUGGGCUGUAACCUUCAAGUUAACCCAAUCUCCUAUCUCGAAAGUUACCUCUCUUCUUGACUGUCUGCGUACUUCUUCUUACGGUCCUGAGCCUUCUUCAUGUUGGCCUGAAUCGUUUCCAGUUUAAUCAUGGUCUCCUGAACAAUAGGUGACCCCAACAUUCUUCUUUCGCCCACUUCCGUCCAACACAUAGGCGUCUUGCAUGUCCUUCCGUAUAACGCUUCAUAAGGUGACAUCCCUAUGCUCGAAUGAUGACUGUUGUUAUACGAGAACUCAACCAACGGUAAAUGCUUCUCCCAAGUUCGUGCCCAAUCAAGAAUACACAUCCGCAGAAUGUCCUCGAUGGUCCGAAUGGUCAUUUCCGUUUGGCCAUCUGUUUCGGGAUGGAACGCCGUGCUUCUGUACAGUUUAGUUCCCAAGGCUUCUUGCAGUGCUUCCCAGAAUGAUGCAGUGAACCUUGGAUCGCGAUCUGAGACGAUGUCUGAGGGUACACCAUGUAACUUCACGAUUUGGUCGAUGUACAGCUCGGCAAAAACUUUAACUUUAUCAGUGUCCCGCAUAGGCAACAAGUGUGUAACCUUUGUUAACCUAUCCACAAUCACCCAUAUCGAGUUGUUCGAUCUACCUGGAGCAGUGGGUAAUCCGGUAAUGAAAUCCAUGGAAAUCGAGUCCCAUUUCCUGAGGUAUCAGAAGACUUUGUAACAAUCGUCCUGGUACUUGAUGCUAGGCCUUGACUUGUUGACAAGUUGCACACUGAGCAACCCAUUGUGCUACUGACCUCUUCAUGCCCGGCCAAUAAUAGUAUCUCCUCACGUCUCGGUACAUCUUCGAACUUCCAGGAUGGAUACUAAGUAAAGAAUGAUGUGCGAUCCUUAGUAUCUCAUCUCUCAGCCCUUGUCCUUUAGGAACCGUGAUCCUUCCAUUGAUUAGAAAAGUUCCAUCCUUCACCAAGUAGUAUCCAGCAUUAUUUGGCCAGGCUUGCCCAUUGAGUUCUUCAGUAAUCUUCAGUAACUUCUCAUCCUUAAGUUGUUCUUCUCGAAUUCUCUGAAUCAAGCUGGCCUGAUUCACCGCUUGAAGUCGCAAUGCCUCGCUUGUCUGCCCUUCCAAAACGACCAACUUCACUUGUUUCAACUCCUGGUUCAACAGCUCCACUUCUUUCUCUAAAUCUGCGUCCAACUUUCUUCGAUUUAAGGCGUCCGCAACAACAUUCGCUUUACCUGGAUGGUAGCGAAUCCGUAUGUUGUAGUCUGCCAAAAACUCUAUCCACCUACGCUGGCGCAGGUUGAGAUCUGGCUGAGUGAAGAGGUAUUUAAGACUUUGAUGGUCCGUGUAUACCUCCACUUCUUCUCCAUAUAAGUAAGAUCUCCAACUUCGCAAAUUGAACACCACGGCCGCUAACUCCAAGUCAUGUGUACUGUAGUUAUCCUCAUGCUUCCGUAGUUGUCGUGAGGCAUACGCGACGACUCGCCCAUCUUGCAUAAGAACACAACCUAACCCAACUCGUGAAGCAUCCCUGUAAACCGUGUAAGGUUUACCUUGCUCGGGCAAAGCUAACACAAGUGCGGUCGUGAGAGCUUCCUUCAAUUUCUUGAAUGCCUUCUCGGUUUCUUCCACCCAUAAGAAAGGAACUCCUUUACCGGUAAGUUUAGUUAAAGGCUUUGCAAUGGAGGAAAAGUCCUUAACAAUCUUCCGAUAAUAGCCCGCAAGUCCGAGAAAACUCCUCACUUCUGUCAAAGUGGUAGGUCGAGACCAUUCUUGUAUGGCUUGGACCUUUUCUGGAUCAGCAGCCACGCCCUCUCCUGAUACUAUGUGACCAAGAAAUCCUAUCUUUCUCUUCCAAAACGAGCACUUGCUGAACUUGGCAAAUAGCUUCUGAUUACGUAACCUCUCCAUAACCAGUCGCAGAUGCUCUUUGUGCUCUUCCUUACUUCUCGAGUACACCAGGAUGUCAUCAGUGAAAAUGAUCACGAACUUGUCGAGAUAGUCGUGAAACACUUCAUUAAUCAAACACAUGAAAGCCACAGGUUCAUUUGUGAGACCAAAGGGCGUAACUACAAACUCGUACUGCCCAUACCUCGUUCAAACGCCGUCUUCAUAAUGUCUGACUUGGCAAUAGGAAUUUGAUGAUACCCUGAUGCCAAAUCAAUCUUCGAAAACCAACUAGCUCCCUUUAGUUGGUCUAACAACUCGUCUAUCCUUGGAAGAGGAUACUUAUCUUUUAUCAUGAUGUUGUUGAUGCCACGAUAAUCGAUACACAGCCUCAUGCUUCCGUCCUUCUUCUUCACAAAUAACACAGGAGCUCCCCAAGGUGAAGAGCUCGAUCGGAUGAAUCGCUUUUCCAAUAAAUCUUCCAACUGUUUCUUUAGCUCGGCCAACUCCGCAGGUGCCAUCCGAUAUGGUGCCUUAGCUAUAGGUUUUGCUUCAGGCUCCAAAGUAAUGGUAAAGGGAUUACUCCGAUGUGGAGGUAAUUCCUUUAGUGGUGCAAAGAUAUCCUCAAACUCUUGGACCACUUCUAUGUCUUCGACCUUAACUUCAUCAUUAAUGGCUCCUCCACUAACCGAUAAGGUCACCAAAUAUACUUCCCCGUCUUGAAACAAAUCUUGUACUCUCAUCGCUGCUACCAAAGACACGGUCAUACUAGGACUGAUUCCAUAGUAUGCCAUCUCUGGUCAUUUACCUCUGCCGAACAACAACCUUCCCUUUCCACAGUUGAUUUGAACUCCGUAGCUCGAUAACCAAUCCACUCAAAGGAUUACCUCGUACCCUUUCAAAGGCACGACUAAUAGAUCUGCCACAAACUCUUUGCCUUGAAUGACCAAUGGAACAUUCUUGAUAAACUGAUUUUCUUGAAGGUUUCGGUCUGCGGGGGUCAAGACGGCCACAUCUAUUCUGUCAACCAAAAAACAAUCCCAAAACCGGGCAGCUACUUCAGAGGUCACAAAACUAUGUGUUGCCCCCGAGUCGAACAAUACAUGUGUGGGUUUACCAGCAACAUGUAUGGUUCCUGCUGCAGUAACCCAAUCAACAAUAUCUCAAUCACAAAUACUAAUCAAAAUUCUCACAACCAUCAAUCAUCAUCCUAAAUUUCUAAACGUGCAACCUAGCGAUCAAGCAAUCUAUACCUAACCAGUAUACUAACUAGAUUCCAGCAACUAAAUUUCCAUUCAAUAAAAAGAGGAGGUUAAGCACCCACAAUACCUGUGAUGGGACCGCUUGACGGUCCUGCAUUGUCUGGGUUUUCUACACCUAAGGCAUAAACUCUACCUCCUAGAUUUUUCUUCUUUGGUGCUGGCUCAAUAGCUGGACGGCUAGGAGGAGCUCGGAUUGCGAGAGGGGUCGCAUGGAUUGGCUUGUUUGGACAUGACGAUGCAUAGUGGCGCUUCCUUCCACAGAAGAAACAAGUAACAUCUUCCUUCCUCAGCGAUGAAUAACCUUGCUGGUUACUCCGUUGUCUGUUGGGACAUAACUUAGAAAUGUGUCCCGGUUGAUCACAUAUGUAACACACCACAGUGUUACCACGAUUGUUGGCUUGGCCUCCAAAGCCUCGCCCUUUGCCUUUGUAAGAUCUUGGACCCUUGUUGAAAUUUGGCCUUUCUCCUUGGCUAAACUUGGUGUGUCCACCAGAAUGUGGUAAGGUCUUCCUUUCAGCCUCCAAUACAGUCUCAACAUUAACAGCCUUUUCCACCAGAUCCGAUAAGCUGCUAAAGUUUCUUCCAGCUAAACGACUUCCAAGCUCCGGCUUCAAUCCGUACAUAAAGUUACGGAUCAUAGUUACUUCAUCUUCACGCCCAUCAAAGACAUGUCGCCUCAACCUUGUGAAUUACGACUCAUAACUCCUUACGGGCCUAUCUCCUUGAACAAGGUUCAUGAACUGGUGCUCCAAUCGAUGCUUUGCUUCUGGAGGAAAAUACUUCCUCUCAAACUCUCCCUUGAACGACUCCCACGAUGUGAUGGUGUGUCCAUGCUGCCUGUCUAUGCUGUCCCACCAUCCUGUGGCGUCACCUUCCAAGUAGUACACAUUGAUCUUCUUCUUGUACUCCUCCGGGCACUCCAUGGAUUCAAAAUUCUUCUCCAUCAUAGUAAUCCACUUGUCGGGCUCAAUAGGAUCGGAUCCUCCUUUGAACUUGUAGGAUCCAAUGUUCUUCAUGGUAGAUAAUAGCUUGGAAACUUUAGGGGUUGAGUACGCCUGCCUUGGUUACCAAGUGCCUCGGUCAUCACGUCAUGUAAAAGCUUCAGGGUGUUUUCGGUUCCAUGAUCUUGUGGUCUUUCGGUGGCAUGGUUUUGAUCUGUCCUUGGGUUUGGUUGGACGGAUUGAUCAUCUUGAUGUCUCUGGUGCCAAAUACGACUUCGACUAAUGCUCGCCAUACUGUCUUCUCUCACUCUAGUCCUGUUACCGUAACCAGGAAAAUAUCUUGUUCUCUGCAGAGGGCUCCUAUCGUGUCCAAACAUCUCACUAAUGCUAUUUCCAUUAUCCUGAUCUGAUCUGUAACCCAAUCCUCCGCCUUUUCAAUCCAUACCCUCUCCCCAUAUCCGACCUCGUCCAUCAUCACCUGUCCCGCGAUUAGCCAUCUGCACACAAUCAAAAGGGUAAGUCAUAAUCUUACUAUGGGAAGCAGCUGGUUUCCUAAUCAUCUUUUUGCGACUCCUUUGACUCGAUAAAACCGUUAAAAGCACUUGUGUCAUGCAUGGACGAAACCAUGCUCUGAUACCACCUCUAUAACACCCCCGAACCGUUUUAGGCAUAGGUCGAACCACCGGCCAAGAAUCAAACAAGAACAUGACCGACGGCCCGACCGUCUACCAAGGUUCAGGAGCGCUACAUGACGGGUUAAAGGGCAAUCCAGCCAAAGUAACAAAAUGUGCAAUUCGUAACUUGGCCAGGCCGCCCACUAACGCGUCCCGUCAAACCAAAGCCUAAGGCUUCUCAACCCGUACUCCAAUCUGACGUUGUGUUAGCUCGGACAAGCUAAUAUCAGAACAACAAGGCAUUUGCACAAAACAUUCGCUUUAUUUAUCUUAUAAAAUAUCUGGUUUACAAUACACAAAAUAUUAUACAAAUGGUGGCAUGCCAAGAAAGCGAAAGUACAUACUUAUAGUCUGAAAGCGUCUUAACCAAAAAGAUGCAAAUCUACACCAGCCAGCCUAGCCUCCCGCGCCUUCUACGGGCUCACUACUGGUCACCUGAAAACAACAACGAGUGAGGAGUGAGUAAUCUAGCAUUACUCAGCGAGUUACAAUCCCCAACUAACAAAUACAACCCCUCGCUAUCCCACCCCAAACAAUCUAAAGCGAGAGGUUCACCUAACAACACAAUUCAAUAAUAAUAAGCAAUAUGUGAAAUACGCAGCGGUAAAUGAUAGCAAGAUAACUAGCAUUAUGCUAAUUACUAGCUCAUCACCAAACUCAAACUCUUUUUAAACCAGGGUUUAAACAACCCAAACACGAUAUAAUAUAUAACAAACUCGGGCCCUGGUGAUGUUAUGUUCCUCCUGCACUAUCAGCAAUAUCCUAUCUGCCUACCACAAAGGCCAGAAGAAGAAACUUUCAACCGACCACGGCCCACAGUCUUUCGGGUCACCGCACGACAGCCCACAGUCCUUCGGGUCACUGCCACAUUACACCGUCGUGUAAUACUCAGCCAUAGGACAUGACCCCGUUCGUCUGAGUCUUCCCGAUCCAGCGAAUAAGGGGUUUCCUUGAACCCGCUGGGUACGAGGUCUGAAGGAACACUAACUCACCCCAAUAUGCCUAGCAUUGUGGGUUACACAAAUGCUAUCGGCCAAUAUACGAUUAAUACUAAACCCGGUAAAAAUAACACAAGGUUUCAAGUAAUAAUCACAACACAAUCAACCACAUUCUAGAAUCUAGCAUAAAGACUAAUUCCAGAAUACCUAACUAUCCACAACUUAGCGAUAUCAUCUAAGAAUUCUGCAUUCGCUAACUAACCAAUCAACCUAACCAUUAGCAUGCUACUACGGUUCUCAAGCAAUGACAAGCAUGCUAUCAACUCAAUCAACAUAAUCUCAACUAUUAACUAAUCAAACCGUUACUCAGUUAGACCUGGCCUCUUACCAUAAUCCAACUUCCAAGUAACGGGAACCUGCAUGAAAACAACUCAGCAAUCAAUUGAUCAUAACUCACAGUUUUUGGUUGACCGUGGCCUUGACCCCAAACCCGACAUCUGCGAUCCGACCUUCACAAGUCGACCCACUUGACUGAUCUUCACUUGAACUGGUCUCCACUAGAACUGAUCUCGCUGCACUUAAAAAGAACCUUCUCCAAGUGCUGACUCAAAAUCGGCAGAGUAACUGUUCUCGAAAACCGCCUAGAAUGCUUGAAAACUAUCGAAACUCGAUCUUUCUUUCUUUGCUUUCUCUUUAUGUUUUGAAGUAGGUUUGAUGUGUUAUGGAUAGGUUGAAAUGAGAGGGGGUCGUGGCCUAUUUAUAGAAUCAGCAACCAAUCAGGAACAAGCUGUGUGGCAGCCCGUGUGUCGCUUCGCAUGGCUCCGGACGCAUGCGCGGCGGCACCUUGUGCUUCACUUGUCUUUCAGCAUGGCCUUUUCACAUGCAAGGUGACACCACGCCCUCUACCUGUCUGGAUGCAUGGCCUGCACACAUGCAAGCUGACACCAGGUCCUCCACAUGUCUGGCAGCAUGGCCCGGUCGCAUGCAUCGCGACACCUCGUUCUUGGCCGUUCUACCUCGUGCUCCACAUGGCUAGCUGCAUGCCUCAGUAUCAUGCAGAAUGACACACCCACGUCCAGAUGGCCUGUUGGAUGACUGCAGUGCAUGCAGGUCGACACCCCAUCUCACACAUGGCUGGCCCCAUGCUUCGGUCGCAUGCAUCGCAACACCUCGUGCUUGGCCGUUCCACCUCGUGCUCCACAUGUCUACUUGCAUGUACAGGUUGCAUGUACUGCAACAUAUCCUGCUUCCCUGGACACACACACUGUCAAGAGCCUGCCACCACGUCCUGAACACAUACACAUCAAGCCACCUCGAGCUUCUCAGUCGAUUCAGCCGAUUUCGGCCUUUCUGAUGAAUUUUCGUCCCGCGAUCAAUCCCAAAUAUUUUUCUACGCCCGUUCUGAUGGCCUGAGUAUUUUUAAUAAACCCUACUGGGACUCUGAUCUAGAGGAAAAAUAUUUACCGAGCUUUCGGUUUCUUUGAAAAAUUUUGUAAUACUGAAAUUUAGGGUUUUUCGCCCGAUUUCCGGUCUUCCUGUUGUGCUUCCUAAAGUGUCUUGCUUCAAACAUCAUUUGAAUCAAUAUACUACAUUGUCUGACCAUUUUCAAGUGGCAUACUUGACUCAUGGUUCAGACAAGAACAAUCUGAUUGUCCGCGACUCGAGCACCCAAAGGAUACUCAACCAUUCUUAUUAUUUUUUUUAAGGGUUUCUACAUGGGCUGUCCGUUCAGUACACACAGGACGUCCGUGUGUGUCCGUCAGCACACACAGUACGUCCGUGGCUGUCCGUGUGUGUUCGUCAGCACACACAGAACGUCUGUGGCUGUCCAUCAGUACACAUAUCAGCACACUGGUCCUUGGACUCAGCACGCAGGCCCUUCCCGUGGACUGUUUGGGUGAUUUUGGCCCACGUGGGCUGUCUGUGCAGUACACACAGGAAGUCCGUGGCUGUCCGCCAGCACACACAGGACGUCCGUGGCUGUCCGUCAGCACACACAGGACGUCUAUGGCUGUCCGUGUGUGUCCAUGUGUGUCCGUGUGUGUCCGUCAGCACACACAGGACAUCCGUGGCUGUCCAUCAGUACACAUAUCAGCACGCUGGUCGUUGGACUUAGCACUCUGGCCCUUCCCGUGGACUGUUCGGGUGAUUUUGGCCCACAUGGGUUGUCUGUUCAGUACACACAGGACGUCCGUGGGUGUCUGUCAGCACACACAGGACAUUCGUGGGUGUCCGUCAGCACACACAGGACGUCCGUGGGUGUCCGUCAGCACACACAGGACGUCUGUGGCUGUCCGUGUGUGUCCAUUUGUGUUCGUCAGCACACAGAGGACGUCUGUGGCUGUCCAUCAGUAUACAUAUCAGCACGUUGGUCCUUGGACUCAGCACGCUGGCCCUUCCCGUGGACUGUUCGGGUGAUUUUGGCCCACGUGGGCUGUCUGUUCAGUACACAUAGGACAUCCGUGGAUGUCCGUCAGCACACACAAGACGUCCGUGUGUGUCCGUCAGCACACACAGGACCUCCGUGGCUGUCCGUGUGUGUCGGUGUGUGUCCGUCAGCACACACACGACGUCCGUGGCUGUUUAUCAGUACACAUAUCAGCACGUUGGUCUUUGGACUCAGCACACUGACCCUUCCCGUGGACUGUUCGGGUGAUUUUGGCCCACGUGGGCUGUCUGUUCAGUACACACAGGACGUCCGUGGGUGUCCCUCAGCACACACAGGACAUCCAUGUGUGUCCGUCAACACACACAUGACGUCCGUGGCUGUCCGUGUGUGUCCGGCAGCACACACAGGACGUCCGUGGCUUUCCAUCAGUACAGAUAUCAGCACGUUGGUCCUUGCACUCAGCAUGCUGCCCCUUCCUGUGGACUGUUUGGGUGAUUUUGGCCCACGUGGGCUGUCUGUUCAGUACACACAGGACGUCUGUGGGUGUCCAUCAUCACACACAGGACAUCCGUGUGUGUCCGUCAACACACACAGGACGUCCGUGGCUGUCCGUGUGUGUCCGUGUGUGUCCUUCAGCACACACAGGACGUCUGUGGCUUUGCAUCAGUACACAUGUCAGCACGUCGUUCGUUGGACUCAGCAUGCUGACCCUUCCCGUGGACUGUUCGGGUGAUUUUGGCCCACGUGGGCUGCCUGUUCAGUACACACAGAACGUCCGUGGGUGCCCGCCAGCACACACAUGACGUCUGUGGCUCUCCAUCAGUACACAUAUCAGCACGUUGGUUCUUGGACUCAGCACGUUGGUCCUUGGACUCAGCACGUUGGUCCUUGGACUCAGCACGUUGGUCCUUGGAGUCAGCACGCUGGCCCUUCCCAUGGACUGUUUGGGUGAUUUUGGUCAACGUGGGCUGUCUGUUCAGUACACACAGGACGUCCGUGGGUGUCCGCCAGCACACACAGGACGUCUGUGGCUGUCCGUGUGUGUCCGUGUGUGUAACGCCCGAAUCCGGCCUCUCACUAACCGAGCAUUCACGGCUCCUUGGCUUGACCAAAACCAUCCUUAGUUCCUGAAACCACAACCAGAUAAGCAUUAAUCAUAACCGAGAAUAGAAUUGGUCGAUUCUACAAUGCUUGGCUUGGUUCCUAUAACACAGAUAAACCUCGGAAAAUAUACUUAUAAAAAGAUAUUAACCUUCCUACCAAAUCCCAAGUCAUUCAACCAACCACCCGUUGACAGUCUAGAAUAGAUAAACAUAACACACGAACAGUCCGGAUCGUCCUCAAGACCAAUCCAUCCAUCCGAAUAGAAUCUAGGUGUGACCGGCCUAGUUGAAGUCCAGCUCAAUGGCCCAACGGACUUCCUUACCUGAUCCCGCCUUGGGCCUGGAUCCAAAGGCCGAGUAAGCCUCACGCCCAAUCCGGUUAGGCCGAUCGGACCUUGCGACUCUUACCCUGGCUUAGACGAACUGUGUACUUGUCCCAACGGACAAUACAUGGUCUGAUCCCUUAAGGAACGGACACGACCUGUCUCAACAGGCACCGUUUGGAACAUGUACCCCUUCGGUCCUUGGUACCUCUUGGUCCUCGUACCUCGUACCCCUUCGGUCCUUGGUACCUCUUGGUCCUCGGUACAUCCUUUGGCAACUCACAACCUUUGGAACUCGUGACCUUUGGUAACUCACAACCCUUGGUAACUCGUGACCUUUGGCCACUCGUGCCUCUUGGGACAUGACCAACCGUUUAGCCCAACCGCCCAGUCUAUGGUGCGAUUCGAACCGACCAGCGUCUAGGUUAGCGGUUUGGUUAUGACCGGCCAAGUCUAGGGACGUGUCCCUUGGACUGAACCAAUACAACCCUUCGUGUAUAAUCAGAAAGAAGAGAAAGAACCGGAUAGAAACAAGAAGAGGAGAAGCGGUUGGGUCAAAUGAACCGACCAGAGCUGCGUUGCGAUCACAAAGACCGUCUGUUCGGUCUGAUGCGGCCAUAGCCCACCACGUAUGUAAUAACCCUCACGAGCAGAUAUAAUUUUUGUCGAGAAAAUUCUUUAAGAUCAGUUUGAAGAUUGAUCGAUCAGAAUUUAAAUAAAAAUCGACACGGUGAAUUAAUCUCUCGACGGGCUAUCUUUUGGUCGAAAAACCAUCUCUUGAUGGUUCUGGUCGAGUGUUAAAUAUUAUUGUCGAUUUUUAUUCAUGCUAGGCGAGUUUAUUCAGAGUAGGACGUGAUUCGAUUGAUGAAAAAUAUUUAGUCGAAACAGUCCGAAAAAUAUCGACAAAACUCUUAAAAUUAUUUCAAAACAGUCACAUGCCUUGCACCUUCUAGCCUACUUGCUUUCUCAGUAAUUAGGUCACAUGACAUGCACCUACUUGCUUACCUUCUUGCUCAUUAGAAGUCACAUGCUGGUCACAAGCUGUUUGCUUCAGCUGCUUGCAGCUUUCUUCUUGUAAGGGAAAGGUGAGCUGCUUGUGCUGAAGCUGGUUGCCACAUGUUUCUCCAAACUACCACUUUGUGUAAAGAGAAAACCCUGAGCUGAAGCAACCCCAUAUGGUAUAAAACAUCUUCUUCUCUCCUCUGGACGUCCUGUUACUGCAAAAAAAACCAGAGAAAAUUCAAAGAGAAAGAGAAAAAGAAAAGAGAAAAAUCUGUGAGAAAAAUUAAUUGAGAAAUUGAGAAAAAAAAUCAGGGAAGAGAAGUGAGCUUGGACGACCCUUUCUCACCAUCCUGUGACUUUAAUCAGUGUGUUCUGGUGUGGUUAAGAGCUGAAGGUUUGGUGUUCAAGAGUUUAGAAUCACCCAAGUUCCUUAGCCUUGGAUUUUAUCGGUUAGAUGUGUGUUCAGAUUGAAGUUUAUAUCAACCAAGUUCAUCUUAAAGCUUGAGGAAAUCGGAGUGAAAUGGAGUGUUAUUAGUUGAGCUCGAGUCUAGUCUUCCCUAGCCAAUCUCAUGGAAUCAAAGGUGAGUCUAGAUAGAUGAUUUAUGAGUAGUGAAUGAAUAUUUCUGACAGAACGUACUGAUUGUUAGAUGAUUGAUGAGUAGUGAAUGAAUAUUUCUUGAUUGAACGUACCGAUUGUAGAUGAUUGAUAGGCUUUGUCUCUUGAUCAAUAUUGAAUUGGUAAGGUGUUUACUUAGUGUAAACACUUAUUAAAUAUUUAUGAAUGAUCAUAGAGGUUUAUUCCAAACCUUAGUACUUGUUCUCAAGUACUAAUACAUAUGUCUAGUAUUAAAUAUAAUUAAGUAUUGAAGUAUUAAUCAUGUCAAGUCUUAUUAUAAACAUGUCUUCCAAAAUAUUCCCGUAUGAAUGAUGAUUGCCGUGAAUUGGUCCUGCGAUAUGGAGCAAGUUCACGAAGACACGAUGAUGGCACCCUGGAGGUCGUGUAACUGCAUGCAGCGUUAGAUGUUUAAUUUUAGAAUAUCUGAUGGCGAUGAUGGUGAUGCUAACUCGCUAGACUCGUUUAGCCUUUGUGGUUUCUCGGGUCUGGUAUAUAUAUAUAUAUAUAUAAAUAUGAUUAUAUGAAUGAUAUGAGAGACGGGAAUAGGAAGUGAGGUAUAUGAUUAGAUUCACAAUGAUGGAAGGAUAGUCCUUAUAUAUAAAUAUCUAGAUAUGGAAUAUAUUUCCACUGCAUACAAAUGAAGUUGAUUGCUUGAGAUAUUAUUAAUAUAUGUUGGGGUGUGGGAUUAGACUCACUGAGCAAACUAGUUACUCAUGACUCAUUUGUGAUGCAGGUAACCAGUAGAUGGGAGACCUUACUCUAGGAUGGGAAGGAACAUCAUUAGCCAGCGGUAGUUUUAUUAUCCUUGCAAAGUCAUUUUGAUAUAUCUUAUGUAUAAGAUUUGUAGACCGAAAACCUCAAGGUUAAUUUAUAACAAAUUUUGAAAGAUGAUUCUAAAUGAUAUAUAAAGAAUGUUUAUUUUUAAAGUAUGGGUUCCAUAUGAUAUUAGUCCUUGUCCGGACGAACUAACUAUCGGGUAUUGCUUUUUCGGGUUGAAAAGCCUAGAGUGAUAUCUGAUAGGAGCGUUGGUGUUCUUUGGUUGUUAGUCUAAGGUGAUCGGAGUUAUUCUGAGAACCUCGGAUCAACCAUCGAGGAACAUCGACGGUGUCAUUUCCGGUCAUCUACGAUCGGGGGUGUCACAAAGUACUUUCUUAACCGUGUCAGGGUUCUCCAUGUUCUUAUCCUGCUCUUGGUCUCCCAUACUUGAUCGGAGGUUGCUUCACAAACGAUCAGAUCCCGGAAACCUAACCACCACACAAACGGCCUUGUUUUGGCCAGAAACUCUCUCUCUCUUUCUUUUUGUCUCUCUAUGAUUUAUCUGAGUAUUUUUACUCUGGAUUGGAUGAAUGAAAUCGACAGAGAGGACCCCAUAUUUAUAGAAAACGAGGGGGUAAGUCUUGCCCCACGAACAGGCUUGACUUGCCAGCGGAUGGGCACAAUCAGCCAAGGGUUACACCCUCUCGGCACCGCCACCGGCCCGGACCCGGACCAUCAGACUGAAACCUGAACAGUCCGGCCAGCUGAGAUUAGCUGACUCCCAGCUGCCUCAGCUGAGUGUGCUAGUAGUUCAGCUAGUGGAGCUGACUUAGUAAUGGCCGAGCUGAAGUGAGCUUAACCUAACUCCGUUGAGCUGGCGAACUACCUGUUCCAUCCUCCUGCUACCGUCUUACUUGUCCUAGCUGACUCUCCACUUGUGUAAGGUUAAUUCUAAGUUUUCUUACGUCCUUAACCUUCUUAGCUGGCCAUGGAACGCUUGUCUUGAUGUCCUAAGACUGACUAGUACGUUUCCUCGAACCAUGGCCGUCCCAAUGAUCCUAUUCAGGAACCGGGAUGUUACAAGUCUCCCCCACUAGCAAUGGAUUCAUCCUCGAAUCCGAGUCAUGUGUUUCAUCCAACACAAACUGGCAAACCAUUUUGGAAACUUGGCCUUCAUCGUGGCCUCCAUCUCCCAAGUGGUCUCUUCUCGACCAUUACAAUCGCAAAUUACCUUGACCAUCUGGAUUGUUUUCUUUCUCAUUGCUUUUUCCAUCUUAUCUAUGAUCCAAACCGGCCUUGUUUCCAAAGUUAGAUUCGUACCUAGAUCAGAUGGUAUUUCUGGUAUUAAGACGUCCUGAUCCAUCAAGCACUUCCGGAGUUGGGAGACAUGGAAUACGUUAUGGAAGGCUUCCAUCUCGGAUGGUAAGUCCAACUUAUAUGCCACACUACCCACUCGUUCUAUGACUCUGAAUGGACCUAGGUAUCUUGGAUCUAAUUUCCUUCUACCAGAAAUUCGCACUCUACCUUUAAAGGUAAUCAUUUUGAGAUUGACCAUAUCACCCACUGCAAACUCCAAUUCUUUCCUUUGUUUGUCAGCGUAAUGUUUUUGUUUGUCUUGUGCGGCCCUCAUCUUGUCCCGCACGGACUUGAUCUUCUCCGUGGUUUCCUCCACAAUUUCGGGGCCUAUCAUGCUGCGCUCCCCUACUUGGGUCCAGCAUAACGGUGUCCUGCAUGGUCGUCCAAACAAAGCUUCAUAUGGCGACAUGCCUAUACUUGGGUGGAAACUGUUAUUGUAGGCAAACUCCACUAAUGGAAAAUGUCGUUCCCAGGAAUCGUCCCAAUCGAGGACACAUGCUCGAAGCAUAUCCUCCAGCGUCCGUAUAGUUCUUUCCGACUGCCCAUCGGUUUGGGGAUGAUAAGCCGUACUCAUGUUCACUCUAGUUCCUAAAUCUUUCUGGAAAGCUUGCCAGAAGUGAGAAGUGAACCUCGAAUCUCUAUCCAAAACUAUACUUGAGGGUACUCUGUGUAGUCUCACAAUCUCGUCAAUGUACUUACUCACAAUCCGGUUGACUCCAUCAGACUUUUUGAUGGCCAGGAAGUGGGCAGACUUGGUCAGUCGAUCCACUAUUACCCAGACAGCAUCCUUCAUAUUCCUGGUUGUGGGAAAACCUGUCACGCAGUCCAUCGUGAUGUGAUCCCACUUCCAUUCCGGAAUAGGUAGGCUCUGAAGCAGUCCACUCGGAACUUGUUGUUUGGCCUUGACGAGGUGACAAGUAGGACCCUUGGCCACCCAUUCGGCCACAUCUACCUUCAUCCGUAUCCAAUGAUAGUACUGUCUGAGAUUAUGAUACAUCUUGGUCACUCCAGGAUGGAUUGAGAAUCUAGACUUGUGAGCUUCUCUAAGGAUCUCGUCCUUUAAACUUCUAUCAUUGGGUACGCUGAUCCGACCAUGAACUAAGAUCGUACCGUCCUUGGCGAUUUGAUACUCAGUCAGGUCGUUUCGAGCAACCGUCUUCAGGUUCUCGUCCUGAUCUUGGGCCACUCGGAUCCGGGUAUGCAGGUCGGCCUUAUUCACCUCCUCUAAACCCCGUGGUCCGUCUAUCCUGUUCAGAGCAUUUAAACAGACGAAAUGUCCCGCCUGAUCCGGCUCAUCCGUUCCGCCACUGGCCGCAACAUCUUCUCGCUUCAGGUUCAAGGCGUCGGCCAUAAGGUUAGCCUUGCUCGGAUAGUAAGUGAUGUCUAGGUCGAAGUCGGUCCAUCCACCUCCUCUGCCAUAAGUUCAACUCAGGCUGGGUGAAUAUAUACUUCAGACUUUUAUGGUCCGUAAGUAUCUGGACUUUGGCCCCAUAUAAAUAUGAUCGCCAAAUCUUUAAGGCGAAUACUACCACAGCCAGUUCAAGAUAAUGGGUGGGGUAGUUUCCCUCAUGUUUCUUCAGCUGCCUUGACGCGUAAGCAAUGACCUUCCCAUGUUGAGUUAACACGCAACCGAGUCUAGUGAUGGACACAUCCGUGUAGACCACAUAAGGUUGGUCUGCCUCCGGAAGAACCAUGACGGGUGCGCUAGUCAGCAUAUCCUUAAGUGCGGAGAAACAUCUCGUAAACUCUUCGAACCAUGUGAACUUAACGUCCUUCCUAGUCAACCGUGUCAUCGGCUGAGCCAAGCUUGUGAAUCCCUUCACAAACUUUCUAUAGUAACCUGCCAGCCCUAGGAAGCUUCUAACUUCUGUGGCACCGCGUGCUCGGAGCCAAUCCUUGAUUGCCCUGAUCUUCUCUGGAUCCACUGAGACGCCCUGGUCAGAAACAAUAUGUCCGAGGAACCCAAUACUCUUUUGCCAAAAACUGCACUUGCUGAGUUUAGCAAAGAGUUUGUGCUCUCGUAAUCAUUCCAGCAUGGCUCUCAAAUGUUUCUGAUGAGAUUCCUCGUCCUUUGAAUAGAUCAGGAUAUCAUCAAUGAAGAUUAUCACCGAUUCAUCCAAGAAGUCCCGGAACAUGCUGUUCAUCAUUUUCAUGAAUUCAGCAGGUGCAUUGGUCAGACCGAACGGCAUCACUACGAACUCGUAAUGGCCGUACCUGGUCCUAACUGCUGUCUUCCUAAUGUCAUUUGGCUCUAUAGGAAUCUGAUAAUAUCCCAAGGCCAAUUCGAUUUUAGAAAACCACUUAGCUCCUUUCCACUGAUCCAACAGCUCGUCUAUCCUGGGUAACGGGUACUUGUUCUUCACAGUUACCCUGUUCAACUCUCGAUAGUCGAUGCACAGACGCAUGCUACCAUCCUUCUUUUUCACAAAGAGGACUGGUGCACCCCAUGGGGAGCUACUUGGCCGUAUGAACCCCUUGUCAAGCAAUUCUUCCAAUUGCUUCUUUAGCUCGGCCAUCUCGGCCGGAGCCAUCCGAUACGGACUCUUGGACAGCGGAGCUGUCCCGGGUUUCAGUUCAAUCAGAAAGGGAUCGGACCUAUCAGGGGGGACACCCUGUAGCGCCUGAAACACAUCCUGGAACUCGGACACCAACAAAUCCUCGCGUGGGUCUAACAGAAAACAAGAAUUGUCAGGCUCUGUAGUUGUAAUUGUAGCCAAGAAUGACUGACAACCCUGUUCCAGCAUCCAAAACGCUCGAACUGCUGAAACCACUACUUUCUCUUGAGCCUGACACAGACCUUGGUGCUCUACCGGGUGAAGUCCAUUCUCCAAUUGCACACGACCCUUAUGGCAAUCGGGUGAAGUCCAUUCUCCAAUUGCACAUGACCCUUAUGGCAAUCAAGAGUGGCUCGGUACUUUCCCAACCAAUCCAUACCUAAGAUCACUUCUUGAUUCUUUAGGUGGACACAGACCAGAUUCACAGGGUACACCUUUCCCUGGAUCUGUACUCGGAUAUUCGAAAUGAGACCUAGUGAGUUCAUGGCUUGCCCACCGGCCGCCCUCACUAUCCCAAAAUUAUCACCACCAUCCAGACAGAACAGACCCUUUCCGACCAGUCCCGGACUCACAAAACUAUGUGUAGCCCCUGUUUCGAAAAGCACGUGGGUUUUUACCCCACCGACCAUGAGGGUUCCAGAGAUCGAAUCAAAAGAUCCGGAAGCUCCGUCGUCUCGUGACAGGUCAUACACCCUCGGUGUUGUGGUUGGUUUGCCUUGGAAUGGCUUCAAUGUGUCUCCACGGCCCUCCCCUUGACUUCCUUGCAGCUUGGGGCACUCCGAUUGGAAAUGUCCUUGCAGGCCACAAUGGAAACAAGUCAUUGUGCCACUUCUACCAGACGGAUUCGGUCGAGGACAGUUUUGAACUCCAUGGUCCAUGCUGCCACAACGAACACAAGCCCCCUUGGCCUUCCAGCACUCACCGGGAUGGUUCCAUCCACAUUUGGAACACGCAGGUCGGCCACCAGAGGUCUUCCCUCCGUCCACCUGGUCCCAUUUUCUCUUUUUAUCAUUAGUCUUGCCCAAUGAGCCAGACUGUGGCUUAGCCUUAAGCUUAGCUUCUUCAGCCAAGUUAGACUCUAACAAAGCCAUCCAUUCCACCAGUUCUCCGACGGUGUUGAAAGUGCGGAUAGAGCAGUGGGUCUUCAGUUCCGGCCUUAGGCCUCGGAUGAACCUACGGACCUGGAUUGACUCGUCCUCCAGCUCUCUUCCAACGAACCGUCUAAGUCAGUUGAACUCCUCUUCGUACUCCCGUACGGUCCUGCGGCCUUGGACCAAAUCUAGAAACUUAUCUUCCAGACGAUCCCAACCCCAGCAGGAAAGUAUUUGCGGGUGAAUUCAACUUCAAAGUCCGCAAAACUUGUGAGACUUCCAUUGGUGCGCUUGUCCACUGCAACCCACCAUUUAUGUGCGUCCCUUUCCAGGAAGUGAACCGCAAUGUCUCGCCUGUAAUCUUCUGGACAGCGAGUUGAUUGAAAGUUUCGGACCAGCCUACUCCUCCACUCAUCUGCCACAACAGGUCGGUGCUACCUGAGAAUUGCUUCGUACCCAAUCUGGAUAGAUGCUGAAGCAAACUCAGAUAGUCAACCUUCUUUUCCGACCUUACCGGUGGAUCGAUCUUGAUCACCUCAACCGCGUCCCCAGCUCGACCCAUAGUAAUAGGUGUAGCCGUAGCUACAAGUGUAGCUUGACCAACUGAUGAAUUCACUAGUGGAAUGAACAGCUGAGUCAUAGCCGCCACUUGGUUACCCAUUACUUUCAUGGCCUCUAACAAGUCCUCUCGGGACAGUGCUGCAGGCACAUUGGCCGUUCCCUUGGACCUUUGCUCACGCUUGUCACCAUCAGGGUUAGCGUUCGAGGAUUCUACUUCCUCGUCACUUUCCUGAUGUUGCUGACCUUCUGGUUGCGUUCCCGUAAGAUUGGCCUGAUCAGUAGGCAACACAUCUCUGGUGUUAGUCGCGGCCGGAUCGGUUGGUAACCCGGACAGAUUAAUUCUGUCCCCGGCCGUUCUCUUACUCUUUCGGGUCUUUCCCGAUUUGCUUCUCCCAGCCUAAGGAUUCAGACAUUGUUAGUACAACGUAUACAUAACAUAACCGAGACCAUCAAACCUCACCGUGAGAUUGAAUCAGGUGGCUGCGUGUGUGUGGACUACAUAACCCAACUAUCCUAGAAUCAAGCAUGCUCUGAUACCAACUUGUAACGCCCGAAUCCGGCCUCUCGACGAAACUGGACCCAUUUGCUACUUAAUCAAUUUCUUUGCUUGUUUGAUUCAUUUUAAGUCUUUCCUUUACUAAGUCAUGUUCGAAUCUGAGGUUCUAAAACAAUUGAACAGAUAACACAUCAGAAUAUAAAUGUGUAUAAAAUGUAUUACUUAGAAACAUGAGAUCCAAUGCACAACUUCUUAAUCGUUUCAUUGACAAUCACUAGUUCAUCCCUAGCAUCAGUUAACCACACGUUACACAGCCUCUCACUGACCGAGCCUUCACGGCUCCUUGGCUUGACCAGAACCAUCCUUAGUUCCUGAAACCACAACCAGAUAAGCAUUAAUCAUAACCGAGAAUAGAACGGAUUGAUUCCACAAUGCUUGGCUUGGUUCCUAGAACUUAGAUAAACCUCAGUCAACAUAAUCAUAAACCGUAUGAACCUACCUACCGUAUCCUAAGUCAUUCAACCAACCACCCCUUGACUUAGAAUCAGAUAGAUAGUCCAGAAUAGAUAAACAGAACACACGAACAGAUCCGGAUCGUCCCCAAAGACCAAUCCGUCUAACCGGAUAGAAUCUAGGUGCGACCGGCCAAUGGAGUCCGGAGACCAAUCUGUCCAUCCGGAUAGAAUCGAGGUGCGACCGGCCUAGUUGAAGUCUGGCUGAAUGGCCCAACAGACUUCCUUACCUGAUCCAGCCUUGGGGCUGGAUCCAAUGGCCGAGUAAGCCUCAAGCCCAAUCCGGUUAGGCCAAACGGCCGAUCGGACCUUGCGACUCUUACCCUGACUUAGACGAACCGUGUACUUGUCCCAACAGACAAGACAUGGUCUGAUCUCUUAAGGAACGGACACGACCUGUCUCAACAGGCACCGUUUGGAACAUGCACCCCUCUUGGUCCUCGUACCUCUUAGUCCUCGAACCUCUUGGUCCUCGUACCUCUUGAUGUUCGUAACCCUUGGUUAUUUACAUCCUUUGGCAACUCACAACCUUUGGAACUCGUGACCUUUGGUAACUCACAACCCUUGGUAACUCGUGACCUUUGGCCACU